RNAcentral lists this long non-coding RNA (56509 nucleotides) under Eucalyptus grandis. RNAcentral's name for it is "long non-coding RNA (EGRA_LNC000589)". The record is from RNAcentral. Lineage: Eukaryota; Viridiplantae; Streptophyta; Magnoliopsida; Myrtales; Myrtaceae.
GGGCAAUCUCCAAUCAAUAAACAUCGGAGAGAGGAGAGAUGGUUGCGGAGACCGCUCGAUAGUCUUUCUGUGUUUCUCAAAUCAUAUAUCGAAAGAGAGGUUAGAGAGGAAGGAAAGAGACUCCAAGCAUCCUUAUCCUCCAAAGGAAACCACUCCUUCUCUCCCUCCCCUCCCAUGUUAAACGCAACGGCUAGACUCUCGAGAGAUGUGAGCAUGGGUAAGCCCCACUCUUUCACUGGCUGCUUCAGACCCACGAGCCCCAUAAUUCCAAGGUCUCGCAAUUUGGGAGGCAGACCUCCUUUGGGGAAGGAUUUGAUAUUUUGGCAAUAGAAAAUUGUUAGCUCUUGGAGGGAGGUAAGAUGAUGCCACUUAUUUGGCAGGGACUUUAUCAUCGGACAAGCACUAAGUUUAAGACUCUGCAGGGUGAUGGGAAGGGGUGGGAAGUCCUCUAUCUCCAAUACCGGACACUGCCGUAUUUUCAAUUUAGUGAGAUUGUUACACUUGGCAAUGUUACAGUUGGCAAUAGACUUUAUCUUAGAACAAUGAUUAAGAACAAGACUCGAGAGGGUUACGGGAAGGGGAGGGAAGUCCUCUAUCUCCAGUGCUGGACAAUUAUAAAUAUCCAAUUGAGUGAGAUGGGAGAGCGUGUGAAGGCAUUGUGGUAAGCUUCCCAGAUUUUGACAAUCGUUAAUUGUCAUUGUUUCAAGCGAUUCUACGGCAAUCCCUUCCAACGAUUCCACUCCCUCACAAUUGUCUAUAUGAAGUGCCUUUAGAGGAGCAAGUCUACCCUUGGCAAAUGAAAAGGAUAUUGGAGAAUCAUAAUGAUGUAUCUUAAGAGAUUCAAGUUGAGAAAUCGAAUUAUUGCUACUCAGGUCACCUUGAGGAAUGUUUAGAGCCAUGAUUUUUGGACAAUUCUUAAUCACCAAAUGUUUAAGUGUGUGCAUCUUGCUUGGAAGCUUUUCUAAACUUGUGCAAUUCACCAAUUCCAUCAUUUCAAGAUUACAAGGUAGCUCUAUCUCUCCUUCUCCUACCACAAAAGAUAUGAAUUGAGGACAAUUUUUGAUUACUAAUUCCUGGAGGCAAGUGAGAUUUUGUGUUUCAUCUCCAUCUUGCCACAAGCAUGUUAGUUUGUCACACAGUCCUAUAUGAAGCUUCCUUAGCUUGCCCAAGCAACUCAUAAACCGAUGAUCAAAGGAAACAAGCUCUAUGAGUUUGUUAAUUUUGAGAACUGUCAAAGAAGUUAGCUUGAACAAGCUCUUUAAGAUCUCCUUACUACAAUCCUCAAGGUAUAACUUAUCGAGAGAUGGAAGACAUAACUCACUGGUUGAGUUAUUCAAUUGUUGGCAUGAAUGAAUUUCAAGCUUUAUAAGAUGAUCAAGUUGACAAGGCAAUGUCUCGACCAACAAAGGACAGCUCCGGACAACAAGAUGCUUAAGACAGGAGAAUGGGACUUCUUUUUUUGGGCCCCCCGCAUAAGGAGACCAAUCCUUCCAUGCCAACAUCUCUUCGAACUGCAAAGUAAUUAACGACGAAAAAGGACUAUCACCUCCGUAAAAAUUAGAGCCUAUUAUUCUUACUGCAUUUAGACCUUUAAGAGAUAAUUCUCUCAAUGAAGGUAGUUGUCCAAGUGAAGGCAACAAUGUGACAUAAGGACAGUCCCACAAGCUCAAAGACACUAUCCGAAAAUAGGAUGAACCAUCUAACCAUGAUGGGAAUAUUGCACCGCCAUAGUUCAAAAUAGUGAGAUUUUCAAUAUCAAUGGGAGGUCGCAAAGACUCAAGCACCCAUGAUUCGAGCUUAUCAUUUCGAAGAAUUCCAAAAUCUUUAUCCCAAUCCAAGAAUAAUUUUCUUAGGCCUUGCUUUCCUUCCAAAUUAGCAUCAACAGCAUCUCUAACAUCUUCCACCUUUUGUAAUUUUGAUAUGCAUAAUUCUCCUUGAAGACGUGAUAGGGCCUUUAACUCCUUUAACUUUAGCCAUUUCUCUGUUCCUACCAUAAACUUGGACAAUAUAGUAAGAUUCUUCAAAUUACCGAUACCUAGUGGCAUCUCUUUUAGACUUUGUGUAUCUCUAACAUCAAGAAACUGUAAGCUGACCAACUUUGUGAUACUGUUGGGCAACAUUGAAAGUUUAUGACAAUCUCUUAAGAUCAAAGCUUGUAAUUUGCACAAGUUGCCAAUAGUCUCAGGUAGCCUUUCGAUAUAAGUGUUCGAGAAAUUGAGAUAUCGAAGAUGUUUUAAUUCAUGAACACAAUUUGGUACCUCUACGAUUUUACAAUGACAUAAUGAAAAAACCCUUAGAAACUUCAAGUUUGUUAGCAACUCAUGUAGCACCUUGUCGGAUAUAAGGAGAGAGUUCCCACUAGAUCCAAUACGCACCAAAAUUAAACUUCUUAAUACCUUCAUAUCAUGAUAUGCCCACAAGCAUUUUGAUGUAACAAACCGCGACCAGAUGAAUGAUGCAUAACGAGCUCUCUCCAAAGAUGCAUAAUCUUCAUUAAUUGCCGGUUGAGACUCCCUAGAGCUAAAGCAUAUCCCACCCUCAAUUGACUUUGCUAGAUCAUUCAAAAGAUCAUGCAUUGAAAACUUAGAUGUGUCAACACUUGAUUUUUGAAGAAAUGAUCUUGAUACUAAUUCAUCGAAGUAAUUCCAUCCUAAUUCCAACUUAUUUUUCUUUGUUUUUUGUCCAUCUAAAAAUCCCUCCGCUAUCCAUAAGAGUACUAGCUCAUCCCUCUCAAUUUCGUAAUCCUUAGGAAAUACUGCACAAUAAGAAAAGCAUCUCUUCAAAUAGGAAGGAAGAUGGACGUAGCUCAAUUUCAAAAUAGGGAGAACCUCAUCAUUCUUUGUCGUUGGAAGAUCCCAUAUUAUGUUAUUUAAGGUAUCUUCCCAUUCACUGGGAUUCAUUUUAUGACGUAGGACACCGCUAAACAUCUUCGCUGCCAAAGGUAAACCUUUACAUCUUUUAGCUAUUUUCUUGCCUAUUGUUUCAAAUUCCGGGUGGCUCUUAAAAUUUGUUGCUUCAAGAGCAUGAAAGGCCAAUAAGCUUGUACAAUCAUUGAGGGACAAUUCCUUCAAAGGAAUUGGCGGUGCUUUUGUUACUGAAACAACAGCAUGGUUGCGAGUCGUAAUAAUAAUCUUGCUUCCCCUAGCACCCACUACAAAUGGCUUCAAGAGAUCAGUCCAUUUUUCGUACUUCUCAUUCCAAAUAUCGUCUAGAACCACAAGAAACUUCUUUCCGAAAAGAUUGUCCCUCAACUUAACUUGAAACUCGUUUAGAUCUUUGCCCUCACAGGGCAACCUAGUGAUUGACCGUAAAAUAGUCUUUGUUAUGUCGAGAACAUCAAAAACAUCUGAAACACAAACCCAUGCUCUCAUCUCAAAACAUCUAUUCACUCUUGCAUCAUUAUACAGCUGUUGAGCCAAGGCAGUCUUUCCAAUACCGCCCAUCCCAACUAUGGGGACUAUGCUUAGCGUGGCAUUAGAAUUUUUGACCUCAUUGAUCAAUAGUUCGAGUAUUUGUUCUACAUCCUCCUCCCUACCAAAAAAUUGAGGCUCUGAUAGAGAAGUGGUUAUCCUUUUACUGGUGUAGUUGGAUUUGUCCACAGCAUUCUCUCUCAAGUUUAAAUGAACUUUUCCAGAGACAAUCUCUUCCAACCGGUCAUUGAUCUCUUGUACCUUGGUUUCAGACAUGAGCGAGGGUGGUCGGCCAAAUACAGAGAACUUCCAUUUCCCCAAACAUUUGCUUGUGCUAGAUUCUGCCUCUGACUCAACUUGAGCAGCUUUGAUCUCAAACUCAUCGAGCAAGUCUUCUAUGUCGUAGGCCAAGUCCUUAACCUUGUCCAGCCACAGCUUCACUUGAUGGUUACCACUAAGUUCCUUGUCCUCUACAUCAGCCAACACUGCAUUGAUUAUGACUAGCUUCUCCUUCCACACCUUAGGCAAGGUAGUGCUGAUUCCUUUAUGUUGUGCAUAACCUAAUGUGGAAGAAGCCAACUUGUCGAACAGGACCUGAAAGGAUGAAGCCAAAAAGGAACCCAACACGAUCCCUCCAAUGUCCAUAGGUGAAUCAGUCACUGUAAUGAACAACAAAGGUGUUAUGGUGAAGCAAAGUGAAAAUGAACUAAUGGAGAGAGAAAACUAUGAAGUCCUAGGAACACUGAGAUGAUGACCUACGAAGAAGAUUAUAAAAAAAAAAAAAAAAAGACCAAGACUUUCAAGGGAUGCACAUCAAAAGUUAGACAAAUCAAAAUAAAUACUAUUUGUCCACAAGUGCUAGAUACAUCAAUUACUCUCUUUAUUCUUCGGAUCAAGACUUUUUGGCUAUUGGAUCUUUACUUUUGGCCAUCCAAAACAGAGUCUUAAUAUGACCAACUUAGAGUGUAUGCAUAUUUUUGCCAUAAGUGUUAUCACUCACGAGUGUUUUGUUGACUUCUUUAGCGUUUGUAUAUUCUUAGUAACCUCAUGAUUUCAAUAUAUUUGUUUUCUGCUUUAUUGGUGAAUAUGAGAUUAAUGAAGUCUUUUACAUGGGAGUUUCUAUGCGAAAGAUUCAUAGCAAGAUGGGUGAUAAUGAUUUGUUGAAGUGUGUUGAGGUAGUGGUUGAUAAUCAGGAAUCACCUUGAUAGGAGAAUCGUGAUCCUUUGAACACGAUUAUCAAGUUCAUUAGUGUAAUGGGUAGAGUGUGACAUCCAGUGGAUUAUAUGUUGAUAAUACUGGACUUGUUUACCGUUUACAGAGAAAGCAACUUGCUUGAUGGAUUAGUCGGUGUGCUUAUCCCUUUUUUCUUAUUUAGCGAUGUAUGAAGUUGACCAAGUUAAUAGGAUCAGCAAAUAAGCAUAUUUGUGCAACUUAGUAAAAUAAAUGCUUUUGAAACAUAACAUACUGAGGAUUCGCCCAAUAAUGGCAUCUUAUUUUCUGUUAUACUUAUACAUGUUAUCAAAGACAAUUAACUUUGUCUAUCCACUAAGGAGAAUAGAAACACGUGCUUUAGGCUAAAUAAGGAAAAGGGUCAAGCACACCGACUAAUUAAUUAAGCAACUUGCUUUAUUUUACUCUGCAAAUAAUGAAUAGUCAGAAAUCACCAAAUGACAAUGUAUAAUCUACUGAAAAUUAUACUCUACCAAUGACACCAAUGAACAAGAAAAUCGAGUUCAAAGGACCAUGAUUCUCGCUUCAAGCGAUUCCCCAUCAUCAACUACUAACCCAUCACCUUUCAGCAGAUAUUGCCGCCCAUCUUGCUGCAACUUUUUCUUCUUUUUCUUUUUCUUCACAAGUGCUUGUUCUGUAAUAUUUAGAGAUUAUCCCCAUACAUAUGUAGUAUCCACGAUCAUAUACUUGUUCAUAUAAAAAAAAUCAUAAACUCGGGAAGACCAAAACUUCACUGGGUAUCAUGAACUUUUUUGUCAUGAAAGUGAAGUAUAAAUGAUAAAGAGCUUAUGGGAAAGAAAAUUUAAUAAAAUCGAAGAAGACUAAGACUUACGGAGAUGCAAAUUGGAUUUGUUGCUUCACUUUUCAAAUCCCUCCUCUUCCGUUCCCAUGUGAAUGUCUUUUUUACAUUACUAGUAGUUUUCCACGCGUUACAUCGAUGCCAAUUUUUAUUUUUAUUUGUUUAUGUGUGUGUGAUUGACAAUUAGCAGUGAUUAUUGUUCUCUUGCUCAAAUUGACAAAACUAUAAUUUUAUUCCAACUUUUGUCAUUUUUAAUCAUAUUGUGAUUAAUCAUUCAUUAAUCUCUGUUGUACUUGUCUAUUGGAAUUAUGUCUAGAUUUCCAUUUAUCUUUUCAAAUAUAAGUCUAAUAAAUGGAUAAAUAGCAAGAAGAAAAACUAAAUAAGAAAAACAGCAAAAAACUGAUGAAGAAAAAAAAAAUGCAGGAAUGGGGCGAUAAUACUCUUCGUGACUCAUGGAGAGUUCCACUUCACAUUUUUGUUUUUGUUUUGUUUUUUUAUGAAGAUGCAAUCUAAAUUUAUUAAUAUGCAAGAUAUGAUUUUCCCAAAUUUCCCAAGUUAUAGCAUGUGAUUUAUCAAAGGAAAUGUGCAAAAAAGAGAAUUAACAAUAAUGCACUCCAAAAAGCCUAGAUGCGCAUGAUAAAUGCUUAUCCAUGAAAAUUCUAAGUUUUCUAAUAUAAUUGUCCUGAUACGGAUAUAAUGCAAUUCUAUGCUAAUAUGUAACGAAAAAUCAAAAAAUAAAGGUCUGAGUUUUGGCUGAAAUAAUUAUGCGUGCAGAUGUAUCACCUGAUUAAAACAAAAUUAACAAAUCACCAUUCAUUAUGCAAUCAAGCUGCAACUUUAACCUGACCAGCAAGUAUAUGGCAUCAACUUUGCUAUUAAACUUGCUGCGUCAGUUCAAGGGAAAAAGAGAGCAAGUAGAUAGAUGUCUUUUACCUAUUCCAAGUAGACUUCCUGGAGCUGACCAGGCAAACGAGAUUAGAUCCACAACAGCAAUCCAGCAAGCACGAGCGCUAGGUUUGGCAGUUCACUGUGUACGCGUGCGUAUUCAGCUACGGCAAUGCGUGGUUCGCUGCUUGCAACGACGAACGAUGGUAUUGAUUGAGCGACGACUGGAGAUGGUGGUGAUUGGCGACAAUCGAUAUGCAUGCAAGAAAGAAUUGAAUGAGAGUGGAGUCUGUGGGCGUGAGUUUGAUGAUGAUGGUGGUGGUGGGUGGUGGUGGAUGAAGAAAAAGUGAGGCGGUGCGGUUUUAAAGAAAGAGGCAAGGAGAAUCAAGGAUGAAUUCUGCCGUGUGUGUUUUUCUCUCGGAGGUUCCCAUUUAAUCUUUGCUUUUCUUUUCUUUUUCUUUUUUUUUAUUUGGGGAAUAAAUUCGAACGAACCUAGUCCUAUUUGUCGAAAUUCUGGUAUAGGCUUAUAAAAUGCUUUAAUUCCAAUAAACUUCUUCUUUGGGAGGAAAAUCGGUUCCAGUUUUCCAAAAAUAUAUGAAAACCACUUUUGGGCAGAAGUUAGGUAUUGACAAGUUUUAACAAUUAAAUGAUUAUUCCUAAGCUAUUCAUACUUAUUUUGCGGUAACUCGAGAUUUCUUGCUCUAAUUAGGGCAUGUUUGAUAACGAUUCUGAUUCCGGAAAUAAUUUUUGAUCAGAAAUGGUUUUUUUUUUUUAAUUUCUGUUCCUAAGAACAAUUUCUAAAUACAAGAACGUGCUUGGUAAUUGCACAAAAUUUCCAUUCUUAGGAAAGAAAUGCGUUUGGUGGAAUUGUAUAAUUUUGUUGUUUCUUUUCAUUUUUUAAUAUUUUUAUUAUAUUUUUCCUUUUUUUUCUUCUUCUUUUUUUUUUUUUUUACAAUUCCUCCUUUGUGGCCGGUUGUCAGUGGCCGGCAACUAGCUAGGCAAGGUCCGGCGAGCUCGCCGAAGCCUUGCCAAACCAAGGCGAGGGCCGACGAGCUUGCCGGAGGCUCGCUUGGCCACUGUGAGGCUCGAUCUCACCUUGGCUGGCCGAGCUCAAGCUUGCCCAAAUCUUGUGAGGCUGAGCAUCGCCAUGGCUUGGUGUCGUUGGGGGCUAGCGAUGCUCCAGUGAGAUCGCUGGCCCUCAUUGGCCGGUUGCUGGCCAUGGCCAAGGUUGGCAACCGGCCAAAAGGAAGAAGAAGGAAAUGAAAGAGAAGAAGAGAAAAAAAAAAAUAUUCCCAAGAGCAAGAAGCUAUUUUUUUCUACUUCUUGUUUCUGUUCCAAAUCUAUUCUCGGGAACAAAAAUUUUACCAAACACGUUUCUAUUUUUUUCUGUUCCCUAGAACAAAAGAACAAAAAUAGUUGUUAUGGGGGAAUAGAAACAAUUUUUACCAAACAGGUCCUAAGUUGCUAGAAGAAAGAACCCACCUCGCUAAUAGUAGGCUGACUGACAGUUGACCUACAAAAGCAAGCCCAAAACCCACGAGAUGGCGAGAGAAGGAGAUGAGACGGUUUUGGCGAGACCAAGACAGAGAAGAGACACAACGGCAUCCACGGGAUAGAAAAAAGAGAAAAUUUGAGAGUGCCAUUGGAGAAAGACGAAUGACUAGAGAGACAAAGAGAGAGGGGCCAAAUCUGAGAGUGAGAACUAGAAAAGAAAGCAGAGCUUAAAUAGACAAGAUUUAGGAUUGGUUUUGACCCGGCUCAAAACCAGUUUUCCCCGAGAAUUACCUUUGCAAGGCCGGCUCAUGGGUGUUACAACCAGUUCAUAUUAUGAAACCAAGAAGUGAACCGAUGAAGGCCGAUUCAAAGAAGUUCUAUUUGGAACUAAACUGGCCCCCAUGUGAACGGCCUCAAAAUUAGUCGUGUUCCAUUCAUUUCCCAUAUUGAAUAGGUCCAGUUACUCACCUUUUAUAAAAUGUCAUAAAUGAAGUCUAACGGUAAACAUUGUAAAAUUAAUCAAUUGAUUAGCAGAAUGGGAAGGACCAUCACAAAGCAUAGAGUUCUUUUGAUCUAAAUAAAGUAGAUAUCCCCAUUCCAAGCAAAGCUCUAAUAGGAUUUCGAAAAAAAUAUUUAAAAAUAAGAGAUUUAACAUUUUAAGAUAAAAAGCCUUGUCACCUUUGAAGAUCAUGAGGUCAUUACCUCAAACCUUACCCCACAUCAACUAGUGUUUACGUGUUGAAUCGAAAAAUCAAAAUCGCGGUUAUUUAGUGGAAAAUUUUCAAGCCUUGGUAUGUUCAACAGUUUAUAGUGGAGUCAGAAAGAAAAUGUCCAUCACACAAUGCUGUAUGUCUCUUCUCAGCCUACUCAAAUCCAAUCUAUUUGGACCCCUUAGAGGUUCUAAUUGAGGAGCAGGCAGAAUCAUUCUCCUUGAACAAUGUCAGAAAAAAUGCUCUCAUCUGAUGUGGAUGCCUAACUAACCUUCUUAAUGGUGCAAAUUUUUUAUAUAAUUUGGCCAGGGCAGUUUGUGUUUGAAAUUCGAAGAGAGAAAAAGAAAAAAGAGAGGCGCUUUAAGGUUCUUUUGUGAAGAUGAUCCGUAUGAUUUUACUUGUUCAACUUUUUAUUGUUAGUUUAUGUCACUCACAUCCCGGCUGAAUCGUGGUCCCAACUCCUAACUUCAGCUUUUACAAAAUCCCCCGGAUGUGUAAAAGAGUACAUCCAAUUUAAUAAGUCAGCAAGUUGACAGUGACAAUAUUUUUGUAGAAAAAUUAUAUUAGAUUAAAUUAGAUGAUUAAUUUUUUUUCCAACUUUAUUGUAAAUUUAUAUGGACAAUUAAUGGAAUGGGAAGUGGGAGGGAAUUGAGUUUUGUGAUGACGUGGCCCAUCCAUUAAGUUCCAUUCUUCUUAACUUUCUAUUGUUUAUGUGUGUGGUUUCACCAACGAGACGUUACAAAAUAGAACGAAAAAAGGUAAUCACGAUGGCUCGAAUCAGCUAAAUUGUAUGUAAAUUACUUAUCAAUACUUACGUAUUAUAAAAGAUUCAUAUGUUUCAAGUCAAAAUAUGUAAAAAUGUGUCGGAGACAAGACUAGAAUAAAUAAAAUGUAAAACUCUAUCCAGACAAACUUUCAGGUAUUUUGUUGACAUAUAUGCAAGCGAAGAGCUUGAAAUCCGCUAGAGAUGGUGAAACAUAUCAUUGUCCAUCGAUUUUGGUGUGUUUUCUUCCCCCUUUUCCCCCUUUCCUUACUUUUCAGUUUUCCCUUUCCUGAAGGCGACCAGAAAACACAAAUUUUCCACACUUGCCCUUUCAUAUAAGCUGGACUUAAUCAUAAACUAAAGCAUGCAAAUAUAUAAUGGAGAAGCAAAUAAGGAAUUGAAAAAAAUUGAAGUCAAGAUCUCCUACUUUAAUAUCAUAUAAAAUUUAGUCUCACUAUUGUCAAAACUAAGCUUUCAAAAGUAGAUAUAGUGACGACCAUUUGAAAUUAAGUCCAAAUUUAUGAGUAUUGUCAUGAGCUUCUCUUGUUCAACAUGAGACUAAAGAUUAUGCAAAACAUUUGGCAAGAUGCUUGACCUCAAUUAGCUGUUGGAUCUCAUAACUUCCCUUCCACGUUAGUUGCAUGUCUAACAUUUCUAUGGGUAUCAAUUUAAUUAUAUGUCAUUCCAUUUCUUUCUAACCCUUCCUUGCUCCACUAGGAUUUCGGAAGGAAUUAUGUAACAUAUAAGUACAUAUGUGCCUAAUGAUUCUUCAUAAGAUUAGUAACUUUCUACAAGAAAUUCAACUUUAAUCCAUGACUACUUACUAACUUGAUUACAUUCGUAGUGUUUUGUAGAAAAGAUAACUUUUCUAUGCUGAUUCUUAUCUAUCAACAUAUAAUAAUAAAAAGAAAAGAUAAAUUUUGAACAUAACUGAUGAUAUCUGCUUAACUUUUCUAUGCUGAUUCUUAUCUAUAUUUUCAAAUUUAAGUUUAAGAAAAAAGAGCAAAAAUAAAUAACUGAUAAAAAAAAAUUGCAGGAAUGAGGCGAUGAUACUCUUUGUGACUUGCGGAGUUUCACUUCGAAUUUUUAUUUUAAUUCUUUUAAACAAAGAUUCGAUCUAAAAUUAAAAAUAUGCAAGAUAUACUUUUCCUAGAUUUUCCAAUUUAUAACAUUUGAUUUAUGAGAGGAAACAUGCAAAUAUGACAAUUAAUAAUAAUGUACUCUAAAUGGCCUAGAUGUGCAUGAUAAUGCUUGUCCAUGAAAAUUCUGAGUUUCUAAUAUAAUUGUCCUGAUACUAAUAUAAUGCAAUUCUAUUCAAUAUGUAAUGAAAAAUCAUAAAAUAGAGGUCCAAGUUUGGGCUCAAACAAGUAUGCGUGUAGAGGCAUCACCUUAUUAAAACAACUCAGCCAUAUCAACAAUCAAGCGGCAACUUUAAUCUGGCCAGCAAGUAUUUGACAUCAAAAUCCCUCGAUUUUGUUGUUAAACUUGCUGCAUCAGUUUGAGGGGAAAAGAAAGCAAGUAGAUGGAUAUCUCUUACCUAAUCCAAGUGGACUUCCUGGAGCAGAUUGGUGAACUGGAUUAGAUCGACAACAGCAAUCCAGGAAGCGCGAGAGCUAGGUUCAGACGAGUUGGAGGAGAACACUGUUGAGCAAGGGAACGAGCAUGGGUUAUGGUGAAGCAAAGUGAUAAUGAGCUAGUUGAGAGAGAAUAUUAUAAAGUCUAGGAAGGCCAAAACUUUCACUUACCAAAAACAUUAAACAAAGACCAAGACUUUGAAGGGCACACACCAAUAGUUAGAGGAAUAAAAAUAAAUUUAUUUUUUUUCCAUAGGUGCUUGUCUCCUCAUGUCUAGAGAUUAUCCCAAGAUAUCUUAAAUGAAGACCCAGACUUUUUGUUGCCCAUCUACCAGUCAUCAGAGACAGCUAAUUUUGUCUGAUCAAUAAGGAAAACAUAAGCACGUUCUUUGCACCUAAACAUCUACAAGUCAUGCACACUAACUAAUCCAUAAAGCAACUUGAUUUAUUUUUCUCUGAAAACAGUAAACAAGUUAAAAAAAGCCACCAACGAAUAUUUAUAACCUACUGAAAAUAACUCUUUAAGCAUGACAUUAAUGAACUGGAAAAUCGUGUUCAAUCCCUACGUGGGAAGGAAACUUUAAUGAAACCCAGGAAGUCCAAGACUUUGCAGGAUGCAAACUGGAUUUGUUGCUUGGCUUUUCCCAUCCCUCUUCUUCCAUCCCUAUGUGAAUGUUUUUUUUUUUCCAUUACCAGUAGAAUUUCCAAUCACAUGGAUUCUAAGUGAUUUUUUGUUUGAAUGAAAUAUUAUUUGACAAUUAGUAUUGAUUGUUGUUCUCUUGCUUAAAAUUUACCAUACUACAAUUAUUGUCGAACUUUCUUCAUUUUUAGUCACUCUGAUUUUCCCUUCCUUAAUCUCUAUUGUACCUGUCUUUAUAGUUAUGUCUACAUUUUCGUUUAUCUUUCCAAGCUAAAGUUUAAUAAAAGAAAGAAAAAGAAAAACCUGAAAACCCCCAAAAAAAAAAAAAUGCAAGAAUGGGGCGAGAGAGCGCGCCAUCAAUCCCAUUGUCACGGCCGCACCGUCGUGUUAGCACCACCGCCUGGGCAACUCAUCCAAUGCCGCCACUACUGUCACUGCUGGCGCUUCUAAGCGGAGCAACCAUCACAGGCAAUUGCCUCUGAUUACCUAAUAACUAACCUAAAUAGAUCUAGAGGCGAUUUCAUAAUGUAAAGGAUUAAUUCUAGGGUUAUCAGUUUCUCACGUGCAUCGUGAAAAAUUGGGUUGCACGUGGAGCUCACAUCAUUCAACAGUGAACGUGAAAUGGGCUCACAUACUCCAGGUUAACAUUUGUUACCUUUGUCCGUUGAAUAAGGAAAAGGUAACUUUGUAUGUUCGUGCCCAUUUGAGGAACCGAGGAACUUCUUGUAUUUCCAUAACAUACUCAAGUUAUUUGAUUGUAUUAUUUUCUCAAACGUACGCGAAUUAUUUAUACUGUAGCUAUCAUGUGAAAGCUUGCAUUGAUCACAUAUUCACCAAUAAAGCAUGAAAUAAAGAUAUUGGAACAAGGAUACUGACGAUAUAUGACUACUAAAAGAGCCAGAAAGCCAAUAGUAAUCAACAGAUUUUUGGAGAAAAUACACGUGCACUAUAAGUUGGUCAUAUGGAAAACAAUCACCUCUUAUUUUCUGUUUUGCAUGGCCACAAGAAAAGAUCCCCUAUUUCAAACACAGGCCAAAAGUCUUGAUCCAAAACAGAGGAGAAAAUGUGAUUUUUCUUUACAUGACCAAUUUAGAGUGCAUACGGAUUAUCGUUAAACAUUUAUUACAAGUGUCUCAUUGGCUUUUUUUUUUUUCAUCCAUACAUUCUCGAUGGCCGUAUGUGUUAAUGUCUUUGCUUUAAGCACUAUUGGUGGAUAGGCGAUCAAUAUAGGUCUUUACGUGGCAGUUGCGCGCUGAAAAUUUGCAGCAAUAUGAGCAGCAAUGAUCGGCUGAAGGGGGAUAAGCCAGUAGUGGACGAUAGGGAACCGCUUGAUAAGACAAUUUUGAUCCUUCACAUGAUUUUCCUGGUCAUUAGUGUGAUGCGUAGAGUAUAAUCUCUAGUAGAUUAUACCUUGUUAGUUGGCAAUACUUGACCCUUUUUUAUUUAGCAAUGAAUAAAGCAGACCAUUGUUUAAAGGACCAGCAAAUAAGCAUUUUGUGCAACUGGCGUAGACUACAAUAAGCAUCUUCGGUCAACUUGCAUGGACUAAAAUAAAUAUUUUUGAAAGAUAAAAUAUUAAGGAUCCACAAAACAAUGAAAUCUUACUCUUUAUUAUAAGUCUGCAAAUUACCAAAAACAGCUAAUUUUGUCUGUUCGAUGAGGAGAACGGAAACACAUGUUUUGGGCUAAACAAAAAGGGUUUGGCACACCAGCUAAUCCCUCAAGCAAUAUUUUAGUCCUAAAAUAAUGACAGCCAGCUAAUAUAUCAAGCAAGUUGCUUUAUUUUAGUCCUGAAAUGGUGAACAAGUCGUAAAUCAUCAACUAAUUCAUUAAGCAAGUUACUUUGGGCCAACUUUGUCUGUUCAAAGGACCACAAUUCUUUUAACAAGCAAUUCAUGAUUAUCAACUUCUUUAGCACCCUGCAACGGAUCAUUGCUGCCGAUCUUUCUGCAAUUUUUUUAGCUCUAUAGCUGACAUGUAAGAGCCUAUAACUACAAAAAUAAAUAAUAAUAAUAAUAAUAAUAAUAAUAAUAAUAAUAAUAAUAAUAAUAAUAAUAAUAAUAAUAAUAAUAAUAAUAAUAAUAAUAAUACUAAUAAUAAUAAAAUAACAGCACACUUAGAAGUUAUACUCUUACAAACGAUAGCCAAAAGUCUUGAUAUAGAGAAAAAGGACAAAAUUGAUUUAUCUAACUCAAGGACAUAAUGUGCAUCAAGGUCCUCUCUUCGGUCUAACUCAAACAGCUUGUCGUGAUAAUAUGCUCUAUUAAAAUACUUUUCAUCAGGAAGACCUAGACUUUGAUCGGAUAUCAUGUACAUUAUUAUUUAGAAAGUGAAGCAAAAAUCAGAAAGUGUUGAUCAAAAAGAAAUUUUAAUCAAUUCCAAGAAGAUCAAUAAUUUGGAGGACGCAAAUUGGCAUUAUUGCUUCACUUUUCACAUCCCUCCUCUUGCAUCCCUACGCGAAUGUCUCUUUUUCCAGUACAAAUAGCACUUUCAGGUAUUAUAUGUCUUUCUUAAAGUUAACAAUACUAUAAAUUAGCAUAAGAAGGAAGCCAUGAAAGAACCCGGAACGAUCUCUCUAUAUGUUGUAUUGGUCACUGUUGACACCUAAAUUUUGACGAUUUAGUUUAUUUAUUUAUUACAUAGGAAAUUAGGGGUUAAUUUUAUUAAUUGCAUAGCAUAUAGAUUUAUAUUUGCAUUUAUUUUGUUAUUUGCAUUUUAUCUAUUAGACCGGUGGCGGAUAUAUUCAAAUUAGAUGAAUCUUUUUUGGAUAGGGCAGAUGGAUAAAAAAUAUUGCGAUUUGUCUUUAAAAAAUUUGGAUUUAGAAAAAAUCUCAUCUUGAUCUUGAAUUCUUAUCAAUAUGAGAUGAAUUUUGUUAAAAAGAUUUGCAAGGUUGAUUCGAUGAAGAAUUUGAAAAUCCAAUUCCCUCCCCUAUAAAAGGCCGUGCGUGCGAGGGGUUUUGGGGGGUUCGUUUCUUGCUUUCGAGGGGCUUCUUUAAAAAAUUCAGAAAAAAAGUCAAGAGAGGAGCAAAAAAAGGAAAAAGCUUCUGCAGAAAGGGGGAGAAAAGAGAAGUACAGAGAGAAAGUGACGUGAGAGGAGACAGGAGGAGAGAGAAAGAAAUAAAAAAAGGGGAAGAAAGCACUGUUCUUCUUCUCCGGUGGGCUCGACUGCUGCCCGCGCUCGCUGCUCCUGCUCCGUUCGCCUCGCCCCACCUCCGCCGCACCUCCGAAGCCCGCAACCUGCAGGUCUCUCGCUCGCCAUCACCGAGCACCACCGACGCUGCUCCUGCUCCGUUCGCCUCUGCUCCCGCCGCCGCCGCCGCUUGAAGCCACCGCCGUGCUGCCUCUGGUCCAACGCCUAGCGUUCCCCUCUAUCCGGAGCAAGACCCAAACAGAUCUGUAACCACACAGACCCGAGUCCUCCGCCCGGGCGCCUUUGUUCCACGGGUCCUUGCUGCUCAAGCGCCGCUGCUGCUCCUUCGACGAGCCGCGCCUCCUGGCCCGAGCUGCUGCUUCGCCUACCAACCCAACGACCCACGAUCCACGCUCCAGCUCCGUCGCCCCUGCGAAACUGCUGCUGCCUUGCCGAUCCGCUCCACCGGCCAGACAAAGCCCUUCGCGCCUCAGCCAAUCUCUGUCCCCGAUCUGCCGUGCCGGAGCUGCUGCCCGACGCCGCUGCUCGCCCCCCUCGCCGGUGCCCGAACGUCGGCUGCUUCGCCCGAGCACCCCUGCAACGCUGCUGCCCCUCGCCGGACCUUCGCCGGAGCCGGUGGCCAGCCGCACGGACGUGAAGUUUGAAAGAAAAGAAGAAAAACAGAAAAAGAAAAAGAAAAUCUGAUUAGGUGGUUUUUCCUUCUCUUUUAUUUUACCUUUUUUUUUUAAUAUUCUGUUUUAGUGGAAUUGUUCCUUGAUAUAUUAUUGAUAUCCCAAUAUGAAAUAGUCUAUCAAGCACUAUCAAGCUAGGGAUUGACAGUCCGAUUUUCGCGCCCGAAAUCCGACUCGCAAUCCCUUAUAAAAAUCGACAAUCCAAUCUCAAGCCCGAGAUUUGAUUCGCGAUUUAAAAUUAAAAUUGGUCUACCCGAUCUCAUGCGCGAGAUAUGGUUCGCCAAUUUUUGGAUAUCAAUCUUAUCUUUUAUUUGAUUUGCUAUCGUCAAGUUUGGUUGAGUCAAAUCUUAUUUUCAUAAAAAUAAAAAAUCAAAAAAAUCUUAAUUAGGAUUAGGUUUGUUGUCAUCUUGCAUAUUUAGGAUUGCAAUCUUAUUAUGAAUUUUUUAAAUAAAAAAAUCAAAAAAAAGAAAGUACAAUCAUUUAGGUUGUUAGUUUUUUUAUUUGAAUUGCAUGUUAAUUAUGUGAAAACUUUAAUUUCGAAAUUAAUUAAAAAAAACCCAUAAAAAAUCAUUGUGCAUAUUAGAUUAGAAUUGCAUGCUUCAUUUUAAAUUUAGAUCAUCUUUUUUAAGAUAAAUGGCAUUUUAGAUUUAGAUAAUAUCUUAGUUUAAAUUAGGAUUUAAUAUGACUUAAUCCCUAGUUUAAAUUAGAUAGAAUCUUAAUUUAGCUAGAUCAUUUGAAAUUUCAUAAAAUUUGUCUUAGGAUAAAUUAGUUGCAAUUUCUAAGAUAGAUUGCAUUUUUUAAUAAAAAAUGUCAUAUGCAUAUGUCAUGUAGAAUUAGAGCAUUCUUUGCACGUCAUUGCAUGCUAAGAUUACAUAUUAUAGGUUUAGAUAAUUUCUCCUAAAUAGAUUGCAUGCUUAUUAGGAAAAUAAAAAUCAUGUGCACGUCAUAUAAAAUUAGUCUCAUACAAUGCACGUCAUUUAGUGAUUUUUGUUAAGUGCAUUUAAUUAGAAAUUGCCCGUCAUUAGAAUUAGGUCAUUAGAUUAAUUUAGAUUGCAUAUUUAAAUGUUGCAUUUCUUUAAUUUCAAAUCUCAUAGAAAAUAAAAAAAAUAUAUUUUGAAUAAAUCAUCUCAUGCUUAGGAUAGAUCACAUGCUUAAUUAUGUCAUAUUGCUUAAGUCAUAUAGCUAAGUCAUGUUGCCAUGUCAUAUCAUUUCAUGUUAAAUUAGUGGCAUGCAUUGCAUAUUGCAUGAUUUUCAUUAAUUAAGUGAAAACAAAAAUUAAGUAAUUGCUUGUUAAUUAGAAACCAUAUCUAGGAUUGUUGAUAUGGAUUUUAAUUUAACACUGCAGAUGCUUUCGUUGCUUUGAGGUAAGUUCUGCAUCAUUUAUUUGCUUUAUUGGAUGUUAAAUUGGUGGUUUGCGCACCCGCAUGGUCGCCUCACAUGUUAGGGAAUUAAAAUCAAUUCAAACUGCUUGCCAAACAUUUUUGAAAAUAAAAAGAAUGGUACCGAAAGGGCAUUAGAGAAAUCUAAUGUAAUCAAGUCCCCGUACCCAUAAUCUCUGGUUCGUAGAAGUAAAAUAAUUCUCUCAUUAUUUUACUUAGGUGUCUAAUCGACCUACCAAAAAUAGAUUAGUGGCGGCUCCUAAUUGAAAAUCAAUUGCAUGUUAUAAACUUGAACCUAAGUCGCGAAUUGGUAUGGGCUUGGGAGAGCCCGAGUUAAGUCUAGGCUUAACAAUCCAUUAGCCAAACCCUAGGUGGUUCGUAACCCAAAAAAAAUUUGGUCGCGACAGUCACUGAAGAAAACGACAAGGUAUAUGGUGAAGGUAGGUGAUAAUGAGCCUAUGGAGAGAGAAAACUAUAGAGUGCAAGAUGACCAAAACUUUUACCGACCAAAAAGAUUAAAAAGAGACCAAGACUUUCAAGGACGUACAUAAGAGGUUAGACAAAUCGAAGUAAAAUAUUUUCUCUCCACAAGUGCUUAUUUCAUGAAUUGUUCGCCUUUUUCUUCAUAUCAAGAUUUUUUUUUUGUUUUUUUUAAUAUGACCAAGUCCACGCAUGUUUUCUUUCCUAACCUGUGUUUUGUUGGCUUUUUGGCUUUGAAUGCAUCUGUAAAUUUCUAGCAUCCUAAUGAUUUCUACAUAUCGUUGAAUAUGCAAUCAACGUGGGCUUUUUCGUGGCCGUUACAGCCCUAAAAAGUCCCAAAUGUUUAAGAAAACAAUUACCUUGAGUAUAUUAUGGAUAAAUAAGAAGGUGCUCGAUUAGUCCUUUAAUGUGGACGAACAUGUAAAGUUCUUGCCGAAAGAUUAGCAAAUAUUUUAGCGGUGAAGGAAGCCAACCAUCAUAAUUGGGACUGGCAAAUGAGCAUCUUUGUACUGAUUGCACUAACUGAAUCUUCAGAUAAACAUUUUGAAAGAUACGCCAAGCAAUGGCAGCUUAGUUUUUGUUAUACAUCUACAAGUCAUCAUGGGCGGUUAACGUUGUGUGUUGGAUAAGGAAAAUAGAAAUAAUUGCUUAAGGAAAAGUAAACAUUAAAAUAACAUAAAUUUAGUUCUACAGAUCUUCACAUUUUGUCAAUUGAGUUUAUCUAGUCAAUUUUGGUCGGAAAUCGCUUAUGUGGAUAUCGGUUGUCCUACAUGACAUGACGGGUUUUGAUGUAGGUAAUUAAUAUAUUAAUAUUUUUUGAAAGUCUUUUUUAUUUUUUUUCCUUUUCUCUUCUUUUUUUUUUCGUUUUUUUUCCCUUUCAUUGACCAUCAAUGAGGCGAUGGCCGGCUAAUGGAAAAAGGGAAAAAGAAAAAAAAAGAAAAAAAAAGGUAAAAGAGAAGAAAAUAAAAAAAAUAAAGAAGGAAAAUAUAAGAGAAGAAAAAAGGAAAAAGAAAACAAAUGAAUAAAAAAGGGAAAAUUCCAAACAAUGGCCUAAAGUGCUAACAGUUUCUCAAAUAAGAGUUUAAAAUGGAUUUUGUGUCAAAUAAAAACCUGAAGUGACCAUAAUUGUUUCAAAUAUGGGCUUGAAAUAGCCAUGAUUAUUUUAAAUAAGGGUCUGACCAUGUCAAUUGCUAGCCAGCUUUGUAUUUUGACCGAUUAAAGGGCGCAUUCAUCUAAAAAUUUUACUUUAAAUUAUUCUUAUUCUCUUAUUUUUCUUUUUCUUUUUUCUUUUUAUAUUUUCAAACAAGGGCCGCACGACCGCUAACGAGGGUCAGCGAGGGUUACAUGGCCCUUAGCGACAGCUUGUAAGGGCUGGUGAGGGCUUGACGAGCCUUGUCGACCUCACUUGAGGCAAGGGUCGCCUCACCUAGGCAAGGCCAUCCCUCAUUGGCCACUAGUGAGGGCUGACCUUGUCAACAGUUGCCCUUGCCUAUGGUCGGUGAGGGUGGCCCUCAUCUAGCUCUCUCCAAGCAUUGCUAGUGCCUGGCCGGCCACCAACGAAGAAGAAAGAAAAACUAGAAAAAGGAAAAAAAAAUAAGGAAAAAAUUCAAAAAAUAUAGAUGAUGAAAAUGCCUUUAAGUAACUAAACAGUGAAGCUCUUAUUUGAAAUAGAUAUAGCCAUUUCAUGCCCUUAUUUGAGAAAACGAUGGCGCUUCAAGUCUUUGUUUGAAACAAAGUUCACUUCAGACUCUUAUUUGAGAAAAUGAAGGUAUUUCAGGCCCUUAUUUAGAAUUUUCCCAAAAAUAUAUUAAAUAAUAUUAAAAUUGAUUGCGUCAAUGCUAAUUGUCUUGCCACAUAAGACAGCUGGUGUCAAUAUCUAUGAUUUCAGAUUAAAAUUGGGAAGAUGGAUUUAAUUAACAAAAUGUGAAAAGAUUAAUGAUUCAAUUGACACAAUUUUGACAAAAAAGAAUUGACUUAAUCAAAAAAAUUAUAAUUGAAUUGGGAAAAAGUACAAUAAAUUUAGGAAUUUGAAUAAUUUUCCCCCACCAACUAAUCCAUUGAGCAACUUGCUUUGCAAUACUGAAUGAGUUAAAAAUCACCAACUAAUACCAUAUAAUAUAUAGAAAGUUACACUACACAUCACACACAUAUAAUAUACCUGCCACACCAAACGACCAUAGAUUAAACAAAGCAAACAAAAUAAAAUACUUUCUGUGCACAACUGUUUGUUAUGUAAUAUUCGGAGAAUAUCCCCCAAAGACUUUAUUGGAUAUCCUGUGCUAUCUUGUCUGGAAAUUUCUACGCCUAACAUGUGAAGCAAAAGUGAAGCACUUAAAGAAAGACUAACAAUUGGCUCAAAAAAAAAAAGAAAAAAAGAAAGAAAGAAAGACUACCAAUUGAAAAGAAACUUUAAUCAAUUCCACAAAGAUCAAGAGAUUGCAUGAUGCUGCUUUACUUUUCGCAUCCCUUCUUUACCAUUCCUAUGUGAAUGUCUCUUUUUCCAAUACUAGCAGAAUUUUCACGUAUUACAUAUAAUUAACAAUACUAUUUCCAUGAGACUCUUUCCGUGUUUAAUCACGUUGGGGUUUUUUAUUCAUUACUCUCUAUUGUGCAUGUCUAUUGAAAUUAUGUCUAGGUUUCCAUAAGUUCGAUAAAAUAAAAAUGGCAUAAAGAGAAACGAAGAAGACAAAACAGCAAAAACUUUGAAAAAAAAUAUUAGGAAUGGGGCGACCGAGAGAGCGCCACCGAUCCCACGGCCAUUGCCACGCUGUGGUCAUCAACACCACCGCCAGGACAACUUAUUCCAACACCGUUGCUGCUGGCACUACUAGCUGGACUAAUCAUCUCACAUUUAAUUUAAUUACCCAAUUACUAACCUGACUCCAUCUAUAGGGAAAUUUUCAUUGUAAAUAAUGAAUUUUAGGUUCAUGAUUUUUCCGCUGCACUUUGAAAAGUUAGCUUUCACAAGGAGCCCACACCAUCCGAUGGUCGAUUUGAGCCGAGCUCAAAUGCUCAGGGUUCAUUCAUUAGUUUCCCCUCAUCCCGCGUCUAAGACUUUACAGGCCGCCACCAUGAAAAAAAAAAAUGGGUUUAGGCCCAAGAGACCCAAUUGGGCCAAUUCUCAUUUUAUCCCAUGAAGCUCCAUCUUAGAAGCCCAACGGACUAACUUCCUCCAGCUUAUUUAUAAAUGUUGGAGCUAGCUUAACAGGAGAAAGUAGAAUAGUUAUGAGAGAGAGAAGAAUCCAGAAAACUGGAAAAGAGAAGUAAACCCCGCGCGCGCGCGCGAGUGAGAGAGGGUUUAGGUAAUCUUUUUUGGGCUUUCUCUAUGUAGCUAAGCCUCAUUUUCAGUUUUGUAAAGGAUAUGGGAACCCAAUGAACCACUCUCAGUUGAUGGUAAUAACUAGAUUCACCUGAUAUAACAAAACUUGUAGUACCUUCCUAUAGUCCUGAAAAUUCCCAUGGAUAGGUGCCACCUUGCCUUGUGGAAUCAGCCAGACCUCAUCUGAGGUUCCAGCUAUUAGAUGCUUAUUGUGAAUAAGCUGCAAAUCAAGGUGAAAGAAGGGCUAUUAGUUGUGAAAAUGAUCCAUGGUUGGUCAAAUUGAAGUAUUUUGACCACAAAAUCAAUCUCACCAUCUCAAUUGCUCCUUAGAACAAGACCAGACCUUGAAUGAGCACCUCAGCCACAUCCAAAUCCUCCAGUUGUGGAUAGGCAAAACAGCAGAGUCGCACUCAAUCAUCCUUGGACAAGAAACUAACAAUUUACAAAGAUAAUUCUUCAGUAGUCACUACUCAUUAAAGCAGAGCUUAAAGACCACAUUUAUAAACAAAGCCCAAUACUACCUACAGGCACAGAUAUCAGAACUCUUUGGUAUUACAGAUUACUCCAAUACGAAAAAACUGAUCAGGCUAACUAUUCUAGUCCAAAUAUUUUCCAAGUUGAAAUGAUUAGAUUGGUUUCUGUUCCAUUAUAAGUUAGAUAUAUGAUGACAGAAUAGACGCUCUCUAUAGUUGUUAUCACUAAUUGAUUCUCUUGUAUUUUCAAUGUAACAUUAGAUUCCAAUAAGUUCAAUUAGUGCAAGAACAACAACAGGCUAAAUGAAAAGUAUUUGGAGUCAUAAGGUGGACAACAAGAGCAGACUUACCAGAUGAUUGGAUGGCUCAUCAAGCAAAACUAUGUGAGGCUUUUUCAAAGUUAUCUUGGCAAAUGCAACUUUGCCUUUCUGUGCACCUAUUUAUAUGGUCAAAGCACCAUGUUACAUAUGCAAUAACAUCCAAAAAGCCUCAGAGUAGUACACAGUGAACUACUUGCAAAUUGACUAACCUCUAUUAGGGCUUCACAAUGUCAUAAAACAAUUGCUUCAAAAAUAAUUUACAUAUGCAACUGUAGCGGAGAGGGAGGCAAUGUAUCAUAAAGGUAUACAUUGGUUGAAGUGCAAGAUGUCCAAUUACACCAAAGGAACGCAAGUGAGCUCGAAGCUUUUCAAUUGAAAAUCCCUGCAAGAAGAAUGCUACAUAAGAAGGCAUUUGCAGAUAAAACGACAUGAUGUAUAACAAAAUCAUAUUCCGCAAUGGAGUAAAUGCAAACAACCAAUACUUUAAAGACCUGAACAGAUUUGCCCCAGAGGUCACUACUAAUAAUGCAAACACAAAGGCAGGCAACAUAUCGUUACAAUCUCAACCAAAUAAGCACGAGUAUAUAGGCUAAAAAUUUCUAGCAAGCUGUAAACACAAACAGAAUGGUGAUCUAUGGAAUAUCAAUACUAUCAUGAUGGAGUUGUAUUAAAAGCUUGGAGCAAUAAGCUGCCCCAGAAAUGUGUCCCAAAUAGAUUGCUUAAUACUACAAAGGAUCAUCAUCAAUAAAAAUAAAAAAAUAAAAAAGGGUUCUCGAUUCUAAAGAAAACCAUUGAAAAAAAAAACAAUGAAUGAGCUAGGACACAAGAAAAAGAUGGUGGGAAGAGAACAUACAAGAAACGCUGAAAAUGCAAAGACAUAUGAUUGUGGAACGCUAUAAUUCUUCGUGAUAGUGCAUCUUUCUUCACAGUUUUUUUAAGCAUCAAGUAGAGUUGAAGAUAUUCCAUCAAUAUAGCAAGAGGCAGCACUGAGUGAAUUUCGACCUAAAGUUUAUUGUCCAACGAAACAGAACUGAUCCAACCCAACAAGAAAUCCCACUCAAAUGUCAGUCUUUGACUUUCAGUGGUAGAGCUUGCCUACAUCCUAAGAAUGGGUUUUGUUGGCCAUGAUAAUAUUUUCAUAAUUAAUUCUCCAAAAUAGUGCCGAAUAGUGAAAAUGGGGAAAUAUAUUGAUAUAGCUUUCUCACAAAAUAGAUUUGUCUUACAAAAUAAUUUACUGUGCUAAAAUAUUCUUUUGCAAAUGAUUAAAUCAUUUUAGUGUGCAUGAGAAAACUGACUUCGGUGGCAAUAGAGUAUCAAACUUCCAGGGGCACAACAAAUGUACCUAUUGCUAUAACAAAAUGUGCAAAGAAUCAUAAAUUAUACCAAGAUUACAAUCACAACUCAGUUCUUAAGCUAUUGCAAAUGAUACUGUAUGCUGUCAAAAACUUAGACUCAUCGUUCCACAAGCCCUUGUCAAGUAUAAAUGACAAAUGAGGGCUGGUGUAACUGUGAGUCUGUCCUGUAUAUCAGUAGCAAUCCUCUCUUCAUCCUUUUUUGCUUUCUCUAUGUAGCUAAGCCUCAUUUUUUGUUUUGUGAGGUAAUGUGAACCCACUAAACCACUCUUAGUCGAUGGCAAUAACUAGAUUCACCUGAUUCAAUAAAAAUAGGAGUACAUUCCUAUAGUCCUAGAAAUUCCCAUGGAGAGGUGCCACCUUGCCUUGUGAAACCACCCAGACCUCAUCCAAGAUUCUAGCUAUUAGAUGCUCAUCAUGACCAACCUGCAAAUCAAGGUGAAAAGAGGGCUAUUAGCUGUGAAAUGAUCCAUCAUUGGUCAAAUUGAAGUAUUUUGACAAGGAAAUCAAUCUCACCAUCAGAAUUAAUCCUUGGAACAAGACCAGACCUUGAAUGAGUGCAGAAUUAAUCCUUGGAAUCNNNNNNNNNNNNNNNNNNNNNNNNNNNNNNNNNNNNNNNNNNNNNNNNNNNNNNNNNNNNNNNNNNNNNNNNNNNNNNNNNNNNNNNNNNNNNNNNNNNNGAAUUGGAAAAAAAAAAAAACAAAACACUAUCAUUAGACAGAACUACAAUUACCAAGAUAAUUCUUUAGUCACUGGUCAUUAAAGCAAACUUAAAGACCAGAUUUACAAACAAAAAGGGGUCCAGAUAUUUGUAUGUAAAGCCCAAUACUGCCUAUAGGCAUAAAGAUCAGUACCAUUUGGUAUUGUAGAUUGCUCUAUUCUGAAUAUUUUCCACAUUGGAACAAUUAGAUUGGUGUCUGUUCCAUUAUUUGCUAGAUGUAUGAUGACGAGGGCUACCAGCAGCUAUGACCACCAUUUGGUUCUACUAUAUUUUUAAUGUAAAACCCAGAUUCCGACAAGUUCAAUUAGUGCAAGAACAAUAACAAGCUAACUGAAAAAGUAAUCAAAGUCAUAAAAUGGAGAAAUAUGAGUAGAACUUACCAAAUGAUAGGAUGGGUCGUCAAGCAAAACUAUGUGAGGUUGCUUGAAAGUUAUCUUGGCAAAUGCAACUUUGCUUUUCUAACCACCUAUUUAUGUGGUCAAAGCACCAUGUUAUAUGUGCAAUAACAUCCAAAAAGCCUUGGAGAAAGUACACAGUGAACCACAAUUCAGAUUACAAAUUAUCUAACUUUUAACAGAGCUUCACAAUGUCAUAAGAACAUUGCUUCAACAAAAAAUUUAUACAUGCAACACUAGCACAGAGAGAGGAGAUAUACCAGGCAAGAUACAAAUUGGUUGAAUCACAAGAUUUCCAGUUACUCCAAAGGAACCCAUGUCAGCUCAAACAUUUUGUUAUGGAACUCCUUUUGGGAAGAAUGCCACAUGGUCACCGCUGAUGAUGGAAACCCGAAGGUAGGCAGCCUAUCAUAACAAUCUCAACCAAACAAGCAUAAGUAUAUUUGCUAAAAAUUUCUAGCAAGCUGUGAGCAACAGUUCCUAAACCACCAGAAUUCGAGACCCAACCAGAAAGCGAUUUAUGGAAUAUCAAUGCUGUCACGUGAAAGCUUGGAGCCAUGAGCUGCCUCGGAAUUUUAUCCCAGAUUGACUGCUUAAUACUACAAAGAAUCAUCAUAAAAAAGGAAGAAGAAGGUUCCUAUUCUUAAGAAAUCCAUAAAAUGAAAAAACCGCAUCCAUUUUCUUCACAAUCACAUCAUAGCUUCCACAAAACUAAUCAUCCUUUUAGAUUUUGAAAAAGAUCUGUUCUUAUUUAGAUCAUAUUCACCAGAAGGAAAAUUCAGAACGUAGCAGUGCAACAAAUAUAUUUAAUUGCUUCUUCCUUUAUUGAUAAAUUGCAAAAGAGAAAAAAAAAAACGAAGCAAGACAAUGACACCAACAGCAUUAGCCCUACCUUAGCAGCGUUCGCACGUGAUCCUUCCAAGAGAUUCUGCCAAUGCAAGAUCACAAUGGUAUCUGCAAAACAAGCAGAGUGAAUGAGCUUAAGGGCCCAAGAAAAAAUAUGUUGGGAAGAGAACAGACAAUAGACGCAGAAAAUGCAGAGGACUAUGAUUGUGGAAUGCUACGAUUCUUCGUGAUGGUGCGAUUUCAUUCACAAAUGGUUUGGGCAUCGAGCAGAAAUGAGGAUAUGUCGUCAACAUAGCAAGAGGCAGCACUGCGAGCGUUUCAUCCUACAGUUCAUCGUCCAACGAAACAGAGCCAAUCCAACCCAACGCAAUCCCCCACCCAAACAUCAGUUCGUAUUGAGCAUCGAAUUGAGAAAGUAGAAUGGAAAAGGAUGCCUUCAAAACCAAAAAUAACUUACUCGGACCCUAAGAAAACUCACUGUAGUGUAGAUGCACGAAUCAAUUCACCGGAUGUGAACGUGAGGGAUCUCUUCGAUGAGGGGCCAAUAGUCGCCAGUGAGUUUUGCGCAUCGCUCUUUCAGAAUCUCGCAUCUAGGUAAGUACAAUCGUUGGAGGGAGGGAGGGAAGCCAUCCUCUGGCAAGUACCUCAACUUGGGGCAAUCUGUAAUAAAAAACAAUCGAAGAGAGGAGAGAUGGUUGCAGAGACCGCUCGAUAGUCUUUCUGUGUUUCUCAAACCAUAUAUGAGAAGAGAGGUUAGAGAGGAAGGAAAGAGACUCCAAGCAUCCUUAUCCUCCGAAGGAAACCACUCCUUCUCUCUCUCCCCUUCCAUGUUAAAAUCAAUGGUCAGACUCUCGAGAGAUGUGAACAGGUGUAAGCCCCACUCUCUCACUGGCUGCUUCAGAGCCACGGGCACCAUAAUUCCAAGGUCUCGCAAUUUGGGAGGCAGACCUCCUUUGGGGAAGAAUUUGAUAUUUUGGCAAUAGAAAAUUCUUAGCUCUUGGAGGGAGGUAAGAUGAUGCCACUUAUUUGGCAGGGACUUUAUCAUCGGACAAUCCCAAAGUUCAAGACUCUGCAAGGUGAUGGGAAGGGGUGGGAAGUCCUCUAUCUCCAAUACCAGACACUGCCAUAUUUUCAAUUUAGUGAGAUUGUUACACUUGGCAAUGUUACAGUUGGCAAUAGACUUUAUCUUAGAACAAUGAUUAAGAGCAAGACUCGAGAGGGUUACGGGAAGGGGAGGGAAGUCCUCUAUCUCCAAUGCUGGACAAUUAUCAAUAUCCAAUCGAGUGAGAUGGGAGAGCGUGUGAAGGCACUGUGGUAAGCUUCCCAAAUUUUGACAAUUGUUAAUUGUCAUUGUUUCAAGCGAUUCUACGGCAAUCCCUUCCAAUGACUCCACUCCCUCACAAUUGUCUAUAUGAAGUGCCUUCAGAGGAGCAAGUCUACCCUUGGCAAAUGAAAAGGAUAUCGGAGAAUCACAGCAACAUAUCUUAAGAGAUUCAAGUUGAGAAAUCGAAUUAUUGCUACUCGAGUCACCUUGAGGAAUGUUUAGAGCCAUGAUUUUUGGACAAUUUUCAAUCACCAAAUGUUUGAGUGCGUGCAUCUUGCUUGGAAGAUUUUCUAAACUUGUGCAAUCAACCAAUUCCAUCAUUUCAAGAUUACAGGGUAGCUCUAUCUCUCCGUCUCCUGCCACAAAAGAUAUGAAUUGAGGACAAUUCUUUAUUACUAAUUCCUGGAGGCAAGUGAGAUUUUGUGUUUCAUCUCCAUCUUGCCACAAGCAUGUUAGCUUGUCACACAGUCCUAUAUGAAGCUUCCUUAGCUUGCCCAAGCAACUCAUAAACCGAUGAUCAAAGGAAACAAGCUCUAUGAGUUUGUUAAUUUUGAGAACUGUCAAAGAAGUUAGCUUGAACAAGCUCUUUAAGAUCUCCUUACUACAAUCCUCAAGGUAUAACUCAUCGAGAGAUGGAAGACAUAACUCACUGGUUGAGUUAUUCAAUUGUUGGCAUGAAUGAAUUUCAAGCUUUAUAAGAUGAUCAAGUUGACAAGGUAAUGUCUCGACCAGCGAAGGACAGNNNNNNNNNNNNNNNNNNNNNNNNNNNNNNNNNNNNNNNNNNNNNNNNNNNNNNNNNNNNNNNNNNNNNNNNNNNNNNNNNNNNNNNNNNNNNNNNNNNNNNNNNNNNNNNNNNNNNNNNNNNNNNNNNNNNNNNNNNNNNNNNNNNNNNNNNNNNNNNNNNNNNNNNNNNNNNNNNNNNNNNNNNNNNNNNNNNNNNNNNNNNNNNNNNNNNNNNNNNNNNNNNNNNNNNNNNNNNNNNNNNNNNNNNNNNNNNNNNNNNNNNNNNNNNNNNNNNNNNNNNNNNNNNNNNNNNNNNNNNNNNNNNNNNNNNNNNNNNNNNNNNNNNNNNNNNNNNNNNNNNNNNNNNNNNNNNNNNNNNNNNNNNNNNNNNNNNNNNNNNNNNNNNNNNNNNNNNNNNNNNNNNNNNNNNNNNNNNNNNNNNNNNNNNNNNNNNNNNNNNNNNNNNNNNNNNNNNNNNNNNNNNNNNNNNNNNNNNNNNNNNNNNNNNNNNNNNNNNNNNNNNNNNNNNNNNNNNNNNNNNNNNNNNNNNNNNNNNNNNNNNNNNNNNNNNNNNNNNNNNNNNNNNNNNNNNNNNNNNNNNNNNNNNNNNNNNNNNNNNNNNNNNNNNNNNNNNNNNNNNNNNNNNNNNNNNNNNNNNNNNNNNNNNNNNNNNNNNNNNNNNNNNNNNNNNNNNNNNNNNNNNNNNNNNNNNNNNNNNNNNNNNNNNNNNNNNNNNNNNNNNNNNNNNNNNNNNNNNNNNNNNNNNNNNNNNNNNNNNNNNNNNNNNNNNNNNNNNNNNNNNNNNNNNNNNNNNNNNNNNNNNNNNNNNNNNNNNNNNNNNNNNNNNNNNNNNNNNNNNNNNNNNNNNNNNNNNNNNNNNNNNNNNNNNNNNNNNNNNNNNNNAAACUUCAGUUUGUCAGCAACUCAUGCAGCACCUUGUCGGAUAUAAGGAGAGAGUUCCCACUAGAUCCAAUACGCACCAAAAUUAAACUUCUUAAUACCUUCAUAUCAUGAUAUGCCCUCAAGCAUUUUGAUGUAACAAACAGCGACCAAAUGAAUGAUGCAUACCGAGCUCUCUCCAGAGAUGCAUAGUCUUCAUUAAUUGCCGGUUGAGACUCCCCAGAGCUAAAGCAUAUCCCACCCUCAAUUGACUUUGCUAGAUCAUUCAAAAGAUCAUGCAUUGAAAAUUUAGAUGUGUCAACACUUGAUUUUUGAAGAAAUGAUCUUGAUACUAAUUCAUCGAAGUAAUUCCAUCCUAAUUCCAACUUAUUUUUCUUUGUUUUUUGUCCAUCUAAAAAUCCCUCCGCUAUCCAUAAGAGUACUAGCUCAUCCCUCUCAAUUUCGUAAUCCUUAGGAAAUACUGCACAAUAAGAAAAGCAUCUCUUCAAAUAGGAAGGAAGAUGGACGUAGCUCAAUUUCAAAAUAGGGAGAACCUCAUCAUUCUUUGUCGUUGGAAGAUCCCAUAUUAUGUUAUUUAAGGUAUCUUCCCAUUCACUGGGAUUCAUUUUAUGACGUAGGACACCGCUAAACAUCUUCGCUGCCAAAGGUAAACCUUUACAUCUUUUAGCUAUUUUCUUGCCUAUUGUUUCAAAUUCCGGGUGGCUCUUAAAAUUUGUUGCUUCAAGAGCAUGAAAGGCCAAUAAGCUUGUACAAUCAUUGAGGGACAAUUCCUUCAAGGAAUUGGCGGUGCUUUUGUUACUGAAACAACAGCAUGGUUGCGAGUCGUAAUAAUAAUCUUGCUUUCCCUAACACCCACUACAAAUGGCUUCCAGAGAUCAGUCCAUUUUUCGUACUUCUCAUUCCAAAUAUCCGUCUAGAACCCCAAAAAACUUCUUUUCGAAAAGAUUGUCCCUCAACUUAACUUGAAAACUCGUUUAAAAUCUUUGCCCUCACAGGGCAACCAAUUGAUUGACCGUAAAAUAAUCUUUGUUAUGUCGAGAANNNNNNNNNNNNNNNNNNNNNNNNNNNNNNNNNNNNNNNNNNNNNNNNNNNNNNNNNNNNNNNNNNNNNNNNNNNNNNNNNNNNNNNNNNNNNNNNNNNNUUUCCAAUACCGCCCAUCCCAACUAUGGGGACUAUGCUUAACGUGGCAUUAGAAUUUUUGACCUCAUUGAUCAAUAGUUCGAGUAUUUGUUCUACAUCCUCCUCCCUACCAAAAAAUUGAGGCUCUGAUAGAGAAGUGGUUAUCCUUUUACUGGUGUAGUUGGAUUUGUCCACAACAUUCUCUCUCAAGUUUAAACGAACCUUUCCAGUGACAAUCUCUUCCAACCGGUCAUUGAUCUCUUGUACCUUGGUUUCAGACAUGAGCGAGGGUGGUCGGCCAAAUACAGAGAACUUCCAUUUCCCCAAACCUUUGCUUGUGCUGGAUUCUGCCUCUGACUCAACUUGGGCAGCUUUGAUCUCAAACUCAUCGAGCAAGUCUUCCAUGUCAUAGGCCAAGUCCUUAACCUUGUCCAGCCACAGCUUCACUUGAUGGUUACCACUAAGUUCCUUGUCCUCCGCAUCAGCCAACACUGCAUUGAUUAUGACUAGCUUCUCCUUCCACACCUUAGGCAAGGUAGUGCUGAUUCCUUUAUGUUGUGCAUAACUUAAUGCGGAAGAAGCCAACUUGUCGAACAGGACCUGAAAGGAUGAAGCCAAAAAGGAACCCAACACGAUCCCUCCAAUGUCCAUAGGUGAAUCAGUCACUGUAAUGAACAAGAAAGGUGUUAUGGUGAAGCAAAGUGAAAAUGAACUAAUGGAGAGAGAAAACUAUGAAGUCCUAGGAACACUAAGAUGAUGACCUACGAAAAAGAUUUUAAAAAAAAAGACCAAGACUUUCAAGGGAUGCACAUCAAAGGUUAGACAAAUCAAAAUAAAUACUAUUUGUCCACAAGUGCUAGUUACAUCAAUUACUCUCUUUAUUCUUCGGAUCAAGACUUUUUGGCUAUUGGAUCUUUACUUUUGGCCAUCCAAAACAGUCUUAAUAUGACCAACUUAGAGCCAACUUAGAGUGUAUGCAUAUUUUCGCCAUAAGUGUUAUCACUCACGAGUGUUUUGUUGGCUUUUUUAGCGUUUGUAUAUUCUUAGUAACCUCAUGAUUUCAAUGUCAUUGUUUUCUGCUUUAUUGGUGAAUAUGAGAUUAAUGAAGUCUUUUACAUGGGAGUUUCUAUGUGAAAGAUUCAUAGCAAGAUGGGUGAUAAUGAUUUGUUGAAGUGUGUUGAGGUAGUGGUUGAUAAUUAGGAAUCACCUUGAUAGGAGAAUCGCGAUCCUUUGAACACGAUUAUCAAGUUCAUUAGUGUAAUGGGUAGAGUGUGACAUCCAGUGGAUUAUAUGUUGUUAAUACUGGACUCAUUUACCAUUUACAGAGAAAGCAACUUGCUUGAUGGAUUAGUUGGUGUGCUUAUCCCUUUUUUUCUUAUUUAGCGAUGUAUAAAGUUGACCAAGUUAAUAGGAUCAGCAAAUAAGCAUAUUUGUGCAACUUAGUAAAAUAAAUGCUUUUGAAACAUAACAUACUGAGGAUUCGCCCAAUAAUGGCAUCUUAGUUUCUGUUACACAUAUACAUGUUAUCAAAGACAAUUAACUUUGUCUAUCCACUAAGGAGAAUAGAAACACGUGCUUUAGGCUAAAUAAGGAAAAGGGUCAAGCACACCGACUAAUUCAUUAAGCAACUUGCUUUAUUUUACUCUGCAAAUAAUGAAUAGUCAGAAAUCACCAAAUGACAAUGUAUAAUCUACUGAAAAUUAUACUCUUCCAAUCACACCAAUGAACAAGAAAAUCGAGUUCAAAGGACCAUGAUUCUCGUUUCAAGCGAUUCCCCAUCAUCAACUACUAACCCAUCACCUUUCAGCAGAUAUUGCCGCCCAUCUUGCUGCAACUUUUUCUUCUUUUUCUUUUCUUCACAAGUGCUUGUUCUGUAAUAUUUAGAGAUUAUCCCCAUACAUAUGUAGUAUCCACGAUCAUAUACUUGUUCAUAUAAAAAAAUCAUAAACUCGGGAAGACCAAAAUUUCACUGGGUAUCAUGAUCUUUUUUGUCAUGAAAGUGAAGUAUAACUGAUAAAGAGCUUAUGGGAAAGAAAAUUUAAUAAAAUCGAAGAAGACUAAGACUUACGGUGAUGCAAAUUGGAUUUGUUGCUUCACUUUUCAAAUUCCUCGUCGUCCGUUCCCAUGUGAAUGUCUUUUUUACAUUACUAGUAGUUUUCCACGAGUUACACGGAUGCCAAUUUUUAUUUUUAUUUGUUUAUGUGUGUGAUUGACAAUUGGCAGUGAUUAUUGUUCUCUUGCUCAAAUUGACAAAACUAUAAUUUUAGUCCAACUUUUGUCAUUUUUAAUCAUAUUGUGAUUAAUCAUUCAUUAAUCUCUGUUGUACUUGUCUAUUGGAAUUAUGUCUAGAUUUCCAUUUAUCUUUUCAAAUAUAAGUCUAAUAAAUGGAAAAAAAAAGCAAGAAGAAAAACUAAAUAAGAAAAACAGCCAAAAACUGAUGAAGAAAAAAAAAUGCAGGAAUGGGGCGAUAAUACUCUUCGUGACUCGCGGAGAGUUCCAUUUCACAUUUUUGUUUUGUUUUGUUUUUUAUGAAGAUGCAAUCUAAAUUUAUUAAUAUGCAAGAUAUGAUUUUCCCAAAUUUCCCAAGUUAUUAUAGCAUGUGAUUUAUCAAAGGAAAUGUGCAAAAAAGAGAAUUAACAAUAAUGCACUCCAAAAAGCCUAGAUGCGCAUGAUAAUGCUUUUCCAUGAAAAUUCUAAGUUUUCUGAUAUAAUUGUCCUGAUAUGGAUAUAAUGCAAUUCUAUGCUAAUAUGUAAUGAAAAAUCAAAAAAUAAAGGUCUGAGUUUUGGCUCAAACAAUUAUGUGUGCAGAUGUAUCACCUGAUUAAAACAAAAUUAACAAAUCACCAUGAAUUAUGCAAUCAAGCUGCAACUUUAACCUGGCCAGCAAGUAUAUGGCAUCAACUUUCCCCAAUUUUGCUAUUAAACUUGCUGCAUCAGUUCAAGGGAAAAAGAGAGCAAGUAGAAAGAUGUCUUUUACCUAUUCCAAGUAGACUUCCUGGAGCUGACCAGGCGAAUGGGAUAAGAUCCACAACAGCAAUCCAGCAAGCACGAGCGCUAGGUUUGGCAGUUCACUGUACGCGUGCGUAUUCAGCUACGGCAAUGCGUGGUCGCCGCUUGCAACGACGAACGAUGGUAUUGACUGAGCGACGACUAGAGAUGGUGGUGAUUGGCGACAAUCGAUGUGCAUGCAAGAAAUGAAUUGAACGAGAGUGGAGUCUGUGGGCGUGAGUUUGAUGAUGAUGGUGGUGGUGGUGGUGGAUGAAGAAAAAGUGAGGCGGUGUGGUUUCAAAGAAAGGAGCAGGAGAACCAAGAUGAAUUCUGCCGUGUGUGUUUUUCUCUCGGGGGUUCCCAUUUUAUCUUUGCUUUUCUUUUCUUUUUUCUUUCUUUUUUAUUUGGGGAAUAAAUUCGAAAGAACCUAAUCCUAUUUGUCGAAAUUCUGGUAAAUGCUUAUAAAAUGCUUUAAUUCCUAUAAACUUCUUCUGUGAGAGGAAAAUCUGUUCCAGUUUUCCAAAAGUUUAUGAAAACCACUUUUGGACAGAAGUUAGGUAUCGACAAAUUUUAACAAUUAAAUGAUUAUUUUUGAGCUAUUUAUACUUAUUUUGGUAACUCGAGAUUUCUUAAUUUUUGGAUGUGUGGAGCUGUCAGAAGAUCCUUUCCAGGUGUGGCUGUAACCACCUGCUUAUUGCUCACGUUUCGCCUCUUUGUAGAGGAAUGGUUUUGGAGGUUUUUUUUUUUUUGGUCUGAGAAUGGUUUUGGAGGUUCAAACACUAGGAUUUGUACCUGACUUCUGCUCCUUUUCAGAUUUUCCAUUAUGUUCCUCUUUUGGAUCGAACCGAGUCAAUUCCUCUUAUUUUGCUCCAUGAAAGUAAUUUAAGGAUGUGUUUGUUUCGAAAAAAACUUAAGAUUUGAAUAACAUUUUCCGAAAAAUGACUAGUUAUGUCAUUCAAAAAAAUUGACCAACACAGAGUAUUUUUCAUUGCCAACAUCAAUUUAUACCUGCAUAUUUCGGUAAAUGAUGAAAAAUUUUGAUUUGUUCAUUUUUGUGAGCAAUAAAUCAAUCAGUUUUUUGAAAAUAUUUUCUAAAUCUUGAGUUUUCAAUUAAACAAAUGUAUUUUAAUUAUUUGAAGUUUUUAUGUUCCUGCAUUAUACAAGGUAAAGAGUAGAAAUCAAAUCAGUUCAACUUAAAGAGUCAUGGAGAGAUUUUAUAAGAGUCCAAACAAAUUUCAUGAUUCAAUAGAUUCGAUGGUUUUUGUUAUUCAUGCUUGCCAUGACUUCAGUUUACCCAAGGAUGAGAGUAAUCAUGGAGGCUAUGCAUAUGCUAAAACAAUUAUUGGAUCAUGUUCACCAAUAGUGACCAAAGAUGGGUCCCAUACAUGCUAAAACAAAAUGAUGGAAUUGGGAGGGCCCUGCAUUAUUAGCCUUUUUUGUCACCAUGUCCAAUCAAGCAUAGCAUUAAGGACUUGACCCUCCGAAGAAUCCCCCCCCCCCCGGCGAAAAAAAAAAAGAAAAAUCUCUAAGGCACUCAUUUGUAUUUCGUCUGCCAAUUAUUAAAGGCUGAAAUGAAAUGUUCACCAUUUUUCAUUUGAAAAGAGAGCAUUUAAGACUCAUAUGGUAUUACUGAUUGUAUCAUAAAUAGUCAUCGUAUUCAAAUACUUUUUNNNNNNNNNNNNNNNNNNNNNNNNNNNNNNNNNNNNNNNNNNNNNNNNNNNNNNNNNNNNNNNNNNNNNNNNNNNNNNNNNNNNNNNNNNNNNNNNNNNNAUGUAAUGGAAUGACUCGAGGGGUUUACCCAACCUAGAGAGAGAGAGAGAGAGAGAGCCAUUAUAUUACGUUAAAUUGAAGUCUAGCAUGUAUCGCAUGAUCUUGCGUUUUUAAAGCAAAAUUCGUUUUCUUUCUUUAGUGUGGAGAAUAAGCCAACUAGUAUGGAAUACUUUCUAAACAAUGGAUCUAGAUUGUCUAAAAUUUUAGAAUUUUGAGGACAAUUCAAUCUACUUAUUAUGAGUGAGCUCCAAAUUAGUAUUAUGCCUUUCCUCCAAUAUUACUUGAAGCGAAUUAGUAUCAUUUGUCGGUGUAUAUACUAAUUAUAAUGAUUCCAGAGAAUUCACAAUUGUGCACCAUCAGAAGCCCGUACACAAACUAUUUGAAAUUUGAACUUAGACCAUGUAAUGAAUUAGAAGGUGUACAUCUAUUGUCGCAAGAAUUCUGUAGCUAGCCAUCUCGUGGCAACAUAUGUCUCCCCGGCAGCUCCUCGUGCAUCAUGGGGCCAAAAUCACAUCAAAGGAUCGUUGCUUUGUCAAAGUUAUUGAAACCUAAAUUAUUGAGGAUAUAACCAACAAUAGCAUCUUAUUGUAUGUUAUGUAUCCACAAGUCAUCAAAGAAAGUUAGGUUUGUCUGUUUGGUAAGGAAAACAAAAUCACAUGCUCUGGGUCAAAAGAAAUGGUCCCCUAUUUUAAUCGACAUCCAAAAGUCUUGAUUUGAAGAAAAAGGAUAACAAUAUAACUCAAUGACAUAAUGUGCGUCAAAACAUAUGCUCUCCAAUCUAACUCAAACUUCUUGGCGUAUUAGAAAGACCAAGACUUUGUUGGGACCCAUCAACUUUUUUGUGUGAAAAAUUAAGCGAAAGGGAAAAAGUGAUAGUGGGAAAGAAACUUUAAUCAAUUCCAGGAAGAUCAAGACUUUGCAAGAUGCAAAUUGGCUUUAUUGCUUCACUUUUCACAUCCCUCUUCUUCCAUCCUUAUGUGAAUGUCUCUUUUUACAUUACUAGUAGAAUUCCACACGUUACAUGCCUUGCUUAAGAUUAACAAUACUAGAAAUAAGUAUAAGAAGGAAGCCAAGAAGGGACUCGAAAAGAUCUCUCCAAUGAUCAUGGGUUUACCAAUCAUUGAGAGAACAACAACGGUUCUAGGUUCCAAGUUCCAGAACAUAUAGGGUAGGUUCCAGGUUCUAAGAAAUGAGAAACCUACUCUAACAAAAACCAUUGAGUCCUAAAACUUUAGACAAAGAAAAGGACCAAGGCUUUUUUAAAAUAAUAAUAAUAAUAAGUGCACGGGAAGUCCGAAAACUUAUCAUGAAAGUAUAAUUGAAUUAAAAAAAUUUCAAAAGAAACGAUUGAGUCAUAAAACUUGUCACAAAAGUAUAAUCCGGUACUAAAACUUUCAAAAAGGGCAAUUAAUUCCUAAAAUAUGUCUUGAAAGUGCAAUUAAAUCUUAAAACUUUCGAAAAUUGCAAUCAACGAAGAACUUAAUUGGACUAAUUUGACAUGUUUUAGGACUUAAUUGCAUUUUUUGAAAGUUUUAAGACUUAAUUGUACUUCAUAACAAGCUUUAAGACUUAAUUGUGCUUUUUGAAAGUUUUAAAACUUAAUUACAUUUUCAUGAUAAGUUUUAGAAUUUAUAAUGCACUUAUCCCUUUUUUUGCAUCCGUACAUUCUUAGUAACCUUAUAAUUUCAAUGUCUUUAUUUAAUGUGUUAUUGGUGAAUAUGCAAUCAAUGUAGGCUUUUAUGCGGUAGUUAGAGUGCUAUAGAUUCGCAACCAAACAAGCAACAAUGAUCUACUGAAGGGUGUUGUGUUAGUGGUUAAUGUUGGAGAACCGUUUGAUAGGAGAAUCGUGGUCCUUUGCACGAUUUUCCUAUUCAUAAGUGUGAUGCCUAGAGUAUAUCUAGUACUUUCUUAGUUGGUGAUGCCUGACCCUUUUUCUUGUCUAGCGAUGAAUGAAGUUGACCACAAUUAAUAGGACUGACAAAUAAGCAUCUUUGUACAACUUGCACCGAUUGAAAUAAAUGUUGACAAUCCACUUAACAAUGGCAUCUUACUUUCUAUUAUAGAUCCGCAAAUCAUCAAAGACAACUAACUUUGACUGUUCGAUAAGAAGAACAGAAACACGUGCUUUGGGCCAAACAAGAAAAAAAGUCGGGUACACCAAUGAAUCCAUGAAUCAACUUGCUUAAUUUUUACUUUGGAAAUAGUACAUGAUUCACAAAUCAUCAACUAAUCCAUCAAGCAAGUUGCUUUGGGCUAGCUUUUUUUGUUCAAAGGACCAUGAUUUUCCUAUCAAGUGAUUCACUAUCAUCAACAACUACUUCAGCACCCUUCAACAGAUAAUUGCCGCCCACUUUGUUGCAAAUUUCUAGCACUAUAGCUGCCAUGUAAAAGCCUAUACUAAAAAAAAAAAAAAAAAAGCAACAACAACAACAAAACAUUGUAAGUUAUACAUUUUUUAUGAAGACAUGCAUGCCCUCUAAGUUGGUCAUGUGAAGAAAGGGCAAAGUACCAAAAAAGUCCUAAACCUAUGAUAUUUGUACAAAUUUAAUCCUAAACCUUUCAGUUAAGCCAAUUUAGUAUUAAAUCUUUUUAUAUUGGUACUAAUUCAGUCCUUCUGGCCAAUUUUGGCUGGUUGGCUAGCUAUGACAUGGACAUUUGCGGGCUAGCAAACGCUGAUGUGACAAUUUUCAAAAUAUUUUUUUGAUUUAUUUAUUAUUUUUCCUUUUUUUUUUUCCUUUUCCUUUUCUUUUUCCUCUUCUUCCUCUCAACCUUCUUCUCCCGCAAUGCCUAGCAAGCCUUUGAUAGCUCGCCAGUGGUGUGGUGAGGGCUUCAUGGCCCUCGCCUAGUGGCUGGCAAGCCGCCAGAGGCUCGUUGGCCACUACAGGAGAAGAAGGCCUAGAGGAAUAAGAGGAAAAGGAAAAGGAAAAGGAAAAAAAAAAUUAAAAAUUCGAAAUAAAUUAUUUAAAAAUUGCCACAUUAGCGUUUGCCAACCGGCAAACAUUUAUGUUAGCAUUGGUCAGCCAAAAUUGGCCGAAAAGGAUUGAAUUAGUACCACUGUAAAAAGGUUUAGGACUAAAUUGGUUCAACUAGAAGGUUUGGGACUGAAUUGGUAUAAGUGUCACAGGUUUAUGACUUUUUUGGUACUUUUUCCUGUGAAGAAAUAUCACCUAUUAUACUAUAUUUUGGAUGACCACAAGAAAAGGUCCUCUUUUUCAAACGAUAGCCAAAGGUCUUGAUCCGGAAAAAAAAAAAAAAAGGAGAACGAUUGAUUUAUCUAACUCAAGGACACAAUGUGCAUUAAAACGUGGUCUCUUUGGUCUAAACUCAAAUUGCUUGGCGUGAUAGUAUACUCAUAAAGUACCUUUCAUCAAGAAGACCAAAAAUUUACUAGAAGGACACAAAUUGUCUUUGUUGCUUCACUUUCUACACCCCUCCUCUUCCAUCCCUAUGUGAAUGGGUCUUUUUCCAUUACUAGUAGAAUUUCCAUGUCUUGCUUAAAAUUAACAAUUCUAGAAUUUCCAUGGCAGAGGCUCUUUGUAGCCGUGUUCACUGAUUAGUUCUACUGUAUUUUCAAUGUCAAGACCAGACUCCGAUAAGUUCAAUUGGAUGGGAAGAAGGGGAAAUUAUGCAGAGCCCUUCCCUUUGGGUGUGAAAGGAGAACGGGGCAUUUAGGUCAAAGGGGACAGGAUAUAGAGAGAGGAAGGAGAGAGAGAGAAGGAUUGUAUCUUGAUGCCCUUGUGGAUUUGGGUUUUCAAAAUUUGAUUUUUGGAAUGGACUCUUUUGGGCCUUUCUGGUUGUGCGUUCUUGGUUUUGGACCUCCUAUUCUUUAUUUGGGGGAAGUUUUGUGUAAGUGGGAAAUUGGGGGGUUGGACUAUGUUUGUCCCUCCUUAAAACCUCAUGAUUUCCUCCUUAUUCUCUCUCUUUUUCCUCCUAUAUUAACAAUUAGUGGGGUAGCAUGUACCAUGCAUAAGAUAAUGGCAAAGUUGAUUAAACUUUUUCAGGUCAUGCGAGCCGCCACCAGUAGAGCAUAAGGAUGGACACCGAGCAGGUGCAAGGUCGAGAAUCCCGUUUCCCAUUCCCCAACUCGUGAAGCAGCACUUUGCCCCAAAAAAACAUAUUAAAAAUAUAUAAUCAAUCUAAUUAUGAGUUAUUUUAUGAGUCAGAAUGCAGAAAAAAAGACUAAAACUUACUGAAUGAUUGGAUGGCUGGUCAAGCAUAACUACGUGAAGUUUCUUGAAAUUAUCUUGGCAAAUGCAACUCUACUUUUCUGACCGCCUAUUUAUAUGGUCAAAGCACCAUGUUAUAUGUGCAAUAACAUCCAAAAAGCCUCGAGAAAAGUACACAGUGAACCACAAUUCAUAUUACAAAUUAACUAACCUCCAAUAGAGCUUCACAAUGUCAUAUGAAAAUUGCUUCAACAAAAAAUUUACAUAUGCAACAGUAGCAGAGAGAGAGGAGAUGUACCGGACAAGAUACACAUUAGUCGAAGCACGAGAUUUCCAGUUACACCAAAGGAACCCAAGUGAGCUUAAAGCUUUUGCUUAGAAACUCCCUGAAGGAAGAAUGCCACAUAAGAAGGUAUUUUCAAAUGAAAUGAUAUAAUGUAUGACGAAAUCAUAUUUCGUGGUGGAGUAAAACACAAAAGCAAACCCAGAGGUCACCAUUGACAAUGCAAAACCAGAGGCAAGCAGCAUAUCAUUACAAUCUCGACCAAACAAGCAUAAGUAUAUUGGCUAAAAAUUUCCAACAAGCUGCAAGCAAUAGUUCCUAAACCCCCAGAGAUCAAGACCUAAACGGAAGGUGGUUUAUGGAAUAUCAAUGCUGUCAUGAAUUGGAGUUGUAUUGAAAGCUUGGAGCCAUAAGCUGCCCUAGUAUUUUAUCCCAGAUUAACUACUUAAUACUGCUAAGGAUCAUCAUCAGCAAAAAGAAGGUUUUGACUCUUAACCAUAAAAAAGAACUGCAUCCUCCUUUCUUUUCAAUCAUGUCACUUUUUUCCACAUAACCAAUCAUGUUUAAGAUAUCGAAAAGAUUACCCGUAUAUACAUCAUAUUUACUAGAAGAAAAAUUAUAACAUACCAGUGCACCAAAUAAAAUUAGUAGCUUCUUCUUCUUCUUCUUUAUUGCAAAAAAUGACACAUAACAUUAACAGCAUUAGUCCUACCUCAAAAGUGUUUGCAAGUGGUCCUUCAAGAAAUUUUGCCAAUACAAAUUACAAUGGCGAAUGAGUUGGGGCACAAGAAAAAGAUUGUUGUGAAGAGAAUAUACAACAGACGCUGAAAAUGCAGAGGACAAUGAUUGCGGAAUGCUAUGAUUCAUAGGGAUUCUAAUGUAAAGCAUAGUGCAUUUGCAUUCACAAUUUGUUUGGGCAUCAAGCAGAGUUCAAGAUAUGGUAUGUUGUCCUACAGUUUAUUGUUCAAUGAAACAGAGCCGAUCCAACCCAAUGAGAACACCCACUCAAUUUUCAGUCUCACCUUCAGUGGCUAGUUUUUGGAAAUUCAUGGGAAACAUUUCCAUCGGAAAAAUAUCAAUUUGUAUCACACAUCAAAUUGAGGAAGCGGAAUUGAAAUCAAAACCAAAAACUUACCUGAAUCCUAGAAAACUGACCAUAUAUGGAUUCACUGGAUUCAAACAUCAUCAAUGAGGAUGCUCGGGAUCUCUUGGAUGAGGGGCCAAUAGUCGCCAGUGAAUUUUAAGCAUCAAUCUAUCAGAAUCUCACACCCAUCUAUGCGCAAUUCUCAGAGGGAGGGAGGGAGGGAGGGAGCCCAUCCUCUGGCAAGCACCUCAACUUCAGGCAAUCGUGAACGUGUAAAAUUGUGAGAGAGGAAAGAUAGUUGCGAAGAAAGCUUGAUAGUCUUCCCACGUUCCUCAUUUUAAAUAUCCAAAGACAGGUUAGAGAGGAAGGAAAGAGAAGACUACACGCAUCCUCAUCCUCCGAAGGAAACCAUACCUUCUCUCCUUCCCCUCCCAUGCUCAAGUCAAAUAACAGAAACUUGAGGGAUGUGAGCAUGGGUAAGCCCCACUCUCUCACCAUCUGCUUCGGAUUCUCGCACACUAAAAUUGUAAGGUCCAGCAAAUUGAGGCAAAGCUCCUUUGGGGAAGCAUUUGAUAUUUUGGCAAUACAUAAUAUAUAGCAUAUGAAGGGAUAUAAGAUGAUGCCACUGAUUUGGUAGAGCCUUUAUCUUCGGACAGUUACAGAGAAAGAAAUAUGACAAGGUGAUGGGAAGGGAAGGGAAGUACUCUAUCUCCAAUGUUGGAUAGUUACUUAUUUUCAAAAGAGUGAAAUGGGAGAGCGUGUUAAGACACUGUGGUAGGCUUCCCAAAUUUAUACAGCUGUCAUAGAAUUCAGCAAUUCUACAGCAAUCUCUUCCAGCAACUCCACUCUCUUGCAAUGCCCAAUAAUAAGUGUCUUGAGAGAAGCAACUUGAGGCAUCGGAUUAUUGCUAGUGGGGUCAUUUGGAGUAAAUUGUUAAUAAUCCCAUGAGUUUUGGGUACUUCUCAAUUAACAAAUCUAUGAGCGUGUGCAUCUUGCUUGGAAGCUUUUCUAAACUCGCAGUCCCUCAAUUCCAUUGUUUCGAGGUUGAAAGGCAACUCUAUCUCUCCUUCUUCUGCCACAAAAGACGUGAAUUUAGGACAACUUUGGAUGGAUAAUUCCUGGUGGCAAGUAAGAUCUUGUGUUUCAUUUCCAUCUUGCCACAAGUAUGUUAGCUUGUCACAGCUUCUUAUAUGAAGCUCCUUUAGCUUGACCAAACAGCUCAUAAUCUCAUGAUUAAAGCAAACAAGCUCUGCAAGAUUUUGAACCCUGACAAUAGUUAAAGAAGUUAGGUUGACCAAGCACUUUAAGGUCCCUCUAUUACAAUCCUUAAGGUAUAACUCACAGAGAAAUGGAAGACAAACUGCACUAGUUGAAUUAUUCAAAUGCCGGCACGAAUGGAUUUCAAGUUUUAUGAGACAAUCAAGUUGACAAGGCAAUGUCCCAACCAACGAAGGACAACUCCGGACAACAAGAUGCUAAAGACAUGAUAAUGGUACUUCUUCUUCUAGACCCCCGGCAUAACGAGACCAAUCAUUCCAUGCCAACAUCUCUUCAAACUUCAAAGUUGUUAAGGAUGAGAAAGGCCCUUUACCUCCAUAAAAUUCAGAGCCUACCAUUCUUACUACAUGUAGACCAUUAAGACAUAAUUUCUUAAGUAAAGGUAGUUGUCCAAGUUGGGGUAGCGAUAUAACAUUAGGACAGCCCUGUAAGCACAAAGACACUAGCUUACAACAGAAUAGACCAUCCAACCAUGACGGGAAUAUUGCACCACCAUAAUAUGAGAUAGUGAGAUUUUCAAGAUCACUGCGAGGUCACAAAGAGUGAAGCACCUAUGCUUCGUGCUUAUAUUUCCAUAGAUUUCCAAAAUCUUCACUCCAAUGCAAGAACAUGUUGCUAAGGCCUUGCUUUCCAAAAGAAUUAGCAUCAACAGCAUCUCUAGCUUCUUGCACCUUUUGCAAUUCUGAUAUAGCUAAUUCUCCUUGACGAUAGGACAAAUUCUUCAACUCCUUUAACUGUAACCCUUUCUUAGUUCCUACAUCGAAGUUAGGCAAAACAAUAAGAUUUCAAAUUACCAAUACCCAAAGGCAUCGUGUUUAGAUUGUGUGUUUCUCUAAUGUCAAGAAACUGUAAGCUCACCAAUUUUGUGAUACCUAGAGGCAACAUAAAAAGCUUUUGACAACCUCCUAAGAUCAAAGCUUGUAUUUACACAAGGCGACAAUUGAAUUAGCUAGUCUUUUGAUGUCUGUGUAUGAGAAAUUGAGAUAUCAAAGAUGUUUUAAAUCACCACCACAAAUUCAGUACCUCUAUGAUGUCACAAUGACAUAAUGAGACCACCCUCAAGUACUUUACUUCUGUUAGCAAGUCAUACAACGCCUCGUUGGAAAUGUGGAACUUGCUGCCCCCUCUAGAUCCAAUAUGAAGUAGCAUUGAACUUCUUAGUACCUUCAUUCAGUAAGAUGCUCUCAAGCAUUUUGAUGUAACAGACCAUGACGAGAUGAAUGAUGUAUAAGGAGCUUUCACAAGAGAUGCAUGAUCUUCAUUUCCUACUAGCUGAGACUCCCCUGAGCUAAAGCAUGUCCCACCUACAAUUGACUUUGCUAGAUCAUUCAAAAAAUCAUGCAUUGAGAACUUAGAUGCAAUGACACUUGAUUGUUGAAGAAAUUAUCUAGAUACUAACUCAUUGAAGUAAUUCCGUCCUAAUCUCAAGUUAUUCUCCUUUUUAUUUUGUCCAUCUACAAAGCCCUCCUCUAUCCACAAGAGUACCAGCUCAUCCCUCUCAAUUUCGUAAUCCUUGGGAAACACCGCACAAUAAACAAAACAUCUCUUCAAAUAAGAAGGAAGAUUGACAUAGCUCAAAUUCAAAACUAGGAGAACCUCAACAUUUUUUCCCUUCAAAAUAUCCCACAUUCUAUUAUUUAAGAUAACUUUCCAUUCAUCGAGAUCCCCUUUAUUAUGCAGGAGACCACCUAACACCUUCAUCACCAAGGUGAAACUUUACAUUUUUUAGCUAUUUUCUUGCCUAUAGUUUCAAGAUCAAGGUGCCUCUCAAAAUUUGUUGCUCUAAGAGCAUGAAAGGCUAAUAAGCUUGUACAAUUAUCAAUAGACAACUCCUUCAAAGGAUGGGGCAAAGCUCAUGUUAAGGAAACAACCGAACUAUUGCGAGUUGGGAUGAUGAUCUUGCUUCCCUUAGCCCCUGCUUCAAAUGGCUUUAAGAGGGCAGUCCAUUCCCCAUACCCAGACAUCAUCUAAAACCACAAGAAACUUCUUUCUUGAUAGAUUGUCCUUCAACUUAACUUGAAGCUAGUUGAGAUCUUUGUCCUUGCAUGACAACUCAGUGAUCAACCGCAAAAUAGCCUUUGUCAUGUUGAGAAUAUCAAAAACAUCUUAAACACAAACCCAUGCUCUUCUCUCGAAGCAGCUGCUCACGUUGGCAUAACUAUACAGCCGUUAAGCCAAGGCCGUCUUUCCAACACUGCCCAUCCCAACUAUGGGGACUAUGCUCACCAUAGCAUCGGAAUUUUCAGCUUCACCAGUCAAUAAUUUGAGUAUCUCCGCUUCUUCUUUCACCAUGCCAAUGAGUCUCUGAUAGACAAAUGCUAUGGGGCCUUUUGUUGGUGAAGUUAGUUCUACCCACAACUUUCUCUGUCAAGCUUAGAUAAGCCUUCCUGGCAACAAUAUCCUCCAACCUACCAUCAAUCUUCUGAACCUUAGUUUUAGACACAUGUGAGCUCGGGUUUGGAUUGGAUCUGGAAGAUUUAUGUUGGCUAAAGAAAUAGAACUUCACCUCACCUCCACUUGCGCUAGAUUCCGCCUCCGAUUUGGCCGGAGUGGCUUUGAUGGCAAACUCAUCAAGCAAGUCUUCCAUGUCAUAGGCCAGGUCCCCAACAUCAUCCAACCAUAGCUUCACUAGACCAUUAUCACUCAAGUGCUUGUCCUCUGCAUCAUCCAGCACCGCAUUGAUUGUGUCCAACAUCUUCCCCCAUUUAUUGAGCAAGUCGAUGCUGAUUCCGGAGAAGGGCAAUGCUCCUUCCCUUUGCAUAUAGUCUAGUCCCAAAGAAGCCAGCUUCUUGAACAGGACCUAAAGGAAGGCACUCAAAAGGAUCUCCCCAAUGGCCAUGGGGAAAUCCGUCAACUGUAGAGAACAACAGAGGUUAUGGUGAAGAAAAGUGACAAUGAGCUAAUGGGGAGAUAAAACGGGUGAAUGAGUCACUGUAUAUAACAACAAGGGUUAUGGUGAAGUGAAGUGAUGGCAAGCAAGACUUUCACUUCCCAAAAACAUUAAACACAGACCAAGACUUCCAAGGAUACACAUCAAUGUUUAGAGAAAUCAAGAUAAAAUACUUUUUGCCCAAAAGUGCUUCUCUCUUAAUGUUUAGAGUUUAUCCCUAGAUAUCUUAUUUAAAGACAAUGACUUUUUGUUACACAUCUACAAGUUAUCAGAGGCAGCUAACUUUGUAUAUUCAACAACGAAAACAAAACCACGCUCUUUGCACUACAAAUGUACAAGUCAGGCACACCAACUAAUCCAUUAAGCAACUUGGUUUAUUUUAAUCUGGAAACGGUAAAUGAGUUAAAAAAUCACAACGAAUAACGUAUAGUCAAUUGAAUAAUAACUCUCUAAGCAUCACAUUGAUGAACAGGAAAGUCGCGUUCAAUCCCUAUGUGGGAAGGAAACUUCAAUGAAAUCUAGGAAGACCAGGACUUUGCAAUACGCCAAUUGGGUUUGUUGCUUUACUUUUCACAUCCCUCCUUUUCCAUCCCUAUGUGAAUAUCUUCUUCUUCUUUUUUUCUACUGUUUGAUGCUAGAAAUUUAGUUGGUCCAGGAAAAUUAUUUCCACUGAGAGGAAAAGCCACGCCUCAAGAUUGAGGAGAAUAAUUUCAGAUCAUAAAAUCUAAAAUUGCUACUUACCCCUCUCACUAUCGCAGACCAAUUUCAUCAUCAUCCCUCUCCUCUCCUCUGCAAACAUGCGCGAAUGCCACCCUCCCAUUUACCCACCAUCGUCAUCUACCACCAACAUCGAUUACCCAACAGAACCAAAUCGCCAACCCCAUUGAGCCAUCCUUCUUCAAAACUAUUCCCAACCGCAGUAACAAGCACCACCACAGACUCGAUCACCACGACCACCACCGCCACCAUUCACAGCCAGCAAAAAUUCAGGGGGAGAUAAAAAGAAAAAAGAAAGCCAGGGAGGAGGAAAUUUCACCAAUCGGAUGGCCAAGUAAUAAAAAAAAUGUGGGUCGGAGGGGCUUCUCGUGCUCUUCCGCACCUGGUCGCUACCAUUUGACUUUGUAUUCUGUGACUACCAUGGCUGCAGUGUGAAUGAACGGUGUUUAGCUUUUCACGGUGCCGGGCGGAGAAGAAGGGAUAAAAGAAAGUGGUAAGAAGAAGAAAAAGGAGAAUGUUCGACCAAAAAAGUGAUGUAUUUGGCCCAAACCACUUUCCCUGCCCAUAUUAGAGAAUGAGAUCUAAUUUUAUAUCCAAAUAGCAUAAAUUAAUUUUUUUUUUUCAUUUUCAAAUUUCUACCAAACGCCAAAAAAGAAUCAUUUACUCAAAAAUUAAUUCUAAGAAACCAGUUUUUUUUUUUUUUUUGGUUGGUAAGAAACCAAUUGAAAAUACUAAAUUUUCAGUUAAUCAAGUAGAGCCCUUGUUAGUUGAUAAUUGCUUUCUUCAAGUAAUAUCAAUGUUAUGCUUAGAGGCGUAUAUAUGAAAAAUAAACUAAAGACUACUUUAUACCACUCGAAAUAAUAAUUAGGCCCUAGAAUUUUUUUUUUAAUUCCCUUUUUUCGCCAAUUGCGAUCAUCAAUACAAAAAUUUCAUAUCAAUCACAAUCAUUUUGGACUCUUUAAGUUCCACCUAAAGCUUGUUAGUGAGAAAAAAAUGAGAAUAAAUAAAGAAUCUGUGAUGAGAAAAUCAAGUUGCUCCUGUUAAAAAUUAUUUUGUCAUGUAAAUAAACAAUUAUAAGAGUAAUUGGACAAACAAAUUGUAUUCAUACUCACAUGAAAGGAACCAAAAACCUACUAACAAGACAUAUCGGGGUACUUCCUAUUUCAAGUCUCAUAAAUGAGUGACCCUUCAAUCACUUUGUUUUUUUUGUUUUUCUUGAAUGGCCCUUUUGAUUGUGUAAUGUAGAAUUAUGGGAGACUAUAGAUCCCCAUUAUUGCUGACCUAAUGGUAUAACAUGAUCAUUUCAUAAAUGCCAGGUCACAAAGAUAACCCCCUAACGAGGAUAGCGAUGUGUAUCUUAUCUUGCCUGCCACAAGACCUCACUUGAUUUGGUGUGCUUCUUGUAAUUGGACUUGUCUAUGCAAAAUAAAUCUGUAGCAAGUGGUAUUGGAUGACAACCUUCUCACAAUUCUAUAUCGGAAUACCUUAUGGUAGGGGUGAGCUUUUUUAUGACAACUCAAUAGAGCAAUAACGCAUUUAAAAAAAAAAAAAAAAAAGAGGGAAAUAAAGCAUGGCCACCUUGAAUGCUACUCUCCACCCUCCCUUUACAACAAAGAAAAAGAAAAUGCGGGACUGGGAUCGAUAAAACCGUUGGUAUGAGAUUAUGUGGAAAAUUUAAAUGGGUUAUAAUCUUCAGGCUUACUUUGAAUUUAGCUGUUAGAUUCACCAACUCGAGAGUCCCUGUUUUCGCAUCUUUAAAAGUAGCUGCUGUUUAAAAAAAAAAAAAAUCGCUGCCGAGAGGUUCUUCGAUUGGCUUUGAACACCAUCAUACAGAUUAAUCUUAAUUAGAGCACGUUACCGCCAUUGAUGUAAGUAAUCAAACAGUGGAGAGAAAUUUUCUCAUGAGAUCCAAACUCAAUCAAUUUCAUUGAGUGUGAUUUCUUGGAUGAGAUACCAAUAAUCUCCGGUUAAUUUUCAAGUAUUGAUAUUUUGGAAUCUUACUCAAUGUGGAAUACUUAAAGGGGCAGGUAGGGGAGCCAUCCUCUCACUUAGAUCUCUAUCUUAAUUUAUGAUGGAGGUAUCAUAUUUAAGUUUUCGAAAUCUGAACUUAUCUCACGAACAUUUUGAACUUGCCUAAAGUCUCUCGGUUUCAUGAGUUUCAAGCUACCCUAUGCUACCGCAUUGAAAAUGGAUGGUAAAAUGGAUUUUCAAUUAAGUAAGCUAGAACUCAAAGUUUUGUUUUAUUCUAAAUAAUUUCACCACUGGUUUUGAGCAUCUACAAAAAGAGAAGAUAUAUAUCCUUUUAUAUUUGUGGGCAGUUGGGACACAUAAAUUAAACUAGAUUUGCAUUAUACUCUCUUUUUUUUUUACUAGAUUUGCAUGGAUUCAAAAUCAUAAAUGCUAAGAUUAUAUCUCGAAUUUGACCUCAAAAAAGAAAUCUAAUUCAAAUAAACUUUCUGAUUUGAGUGGAUUUAAUAAAAGGGAAAUAAUUUUUAUGUACAAAGUGGGUCUUCUUCAUGAAAAGUAUCCAACACUAGCUUUUCCUACGUUCAAUUAAGUAUUACGUUCCUAAGGAAUUACAAAGAGUACUGAAGCAAAUUAAUUUUGUGGUAAGAUCUGUGCAUAACAUCACCAGAGGAGGAGGAGGACACUUCACUCCAAUUCCAACCAACCAAAACCCCCACGAAACUGGGAGACAACAAAAUAAAAUAAAAACAGAAGCCAUCGGAAUUUUCGAGGAAAUUAAAGUUGAAACCUUUUAUCUCUAUUUUAAUGGCAAUCCUUACAACCCUCUCCUUCUCCGAACUGCCCUCCCCGAAGAUCCCACCUUUCUCCUCCAUCUCCCACUCCCCUGCUUGACGUGACGGUGGUGAUGAAGUUGUUGUGGGUUUAACUGGUUAAGUGGCGAUGGGUAUAAUUUAAUUCAUGCCGCAGUAGAUUGGUCCUCUUGGCCGAUCGUCUUUGCUCGUACUCAUCUGUGAUUUAAGUUGAGCUGAUCUGUCACCUGUCCGGUCUAGUUGAAGUUGCACAAGUAGAGAUAUGAAUGUUCUUCGAGCAUUGUAAAAUACCGUUCGAGUGAAGUGAAACCUGCUGAAAUAUUCAUUUGAUGGGCAAAUAUGUGCUGCUUCUUGGUUGUGUGGAGUAAAUGCAAGCGCAUCAUCUCAACUGCUCAAUCUUUUCGAACAUGAAAAAUGUGUGGGCCUGUGAAGUGAUGGAGCUUAACAACUUACGUCGGAAGUGGACUCCUCAUUGAAGGGUCACUGACCUGAAGUGGCUUUUUUCUCUGUUAUUCAUUUUGGCAGCUGUCGAAUUCUAGUCAGGAACAUGAUUUAGCUUGUUACGAUCAUUUCUCGAACAUUAUCCAUAAAACCGAUGCUGCUUCCCUAAUGCCACUACUGCUCUGAUGCCGUUUUUCCUUUUAUCUGUUUUCGUUGAUAAUCCAGGGGCAGGAAAUGGCAAUACGUUGACAGAAAACAAUGACAGAGAAACAAGCACUUCCAGUAAAAAUGUUCUUCGCAAGGAAAAAAGCUAUACAAGUUCAAUAAGUUUUUUGGGGUCGACUUGUCCCCAGACAAUAUUGCAGUUGCGAUGGUCUAUUUUGUUCAAGGUGUCUUGGGCCUUUCAAGACUCGGCUGCAUUUUUAUUCGAAAGAUGAUUGACAUCUAGAUCGAUCCUUCAGAGGUAUGUCGUUGUAUUUGAAGGAUUUUUAAUGAAAAAUCAGAUCUCCUUUGAGAGCAUUCAAUUUGUAUGUUCCAGCAGUCUGAAGAUAGAAACUCGUGCCCUUUCCCUCUGAUAGUUUUUAUGCCUCUUUACUUUCCUUAAUACUUGAGAAGAUUCUUGUAUCUAUUUUUUAUUUCUAGGGGUAUUAUUCACGAACUAGAUGGUCGUUGCUGCAACUCCGUUCCACUUUCUGGUUACCGAAGAAGAUCAUUACUUGGUUUUAUCAAUGAGCUGUUCAGUUGUAAUUAAACAAACCCAACACCAUAUCAAUGAGCUAAAUAUUAUCGGUCGUGUAUAAGCUGGUUGCAGCAAAUCCAAGCGCAGCUUCUAUAAAGCGUUUGAUCAGCACAACAUGUUGAGAUUUGACAAAAGUAAGUCGACAAACAUACUGUAAAAUGUCUCAGAUCAAGCACGCACUACAAAAUCAGAUAUGAAAAUCAAAUAUGCAUGUCAAUACGGUACAUGUAUGUGAACGAGAUCAUCACAAAGCAACGUAGCAAGUUCAAAACAGUCACACAGGCUCAGUCAUAAUUGAUUUUUACCCAGGCAGUGGUUUGUACGUAGAACACCAGGAAACAGAGCAUAUGUGAUUCGAUUGGAUAGAGGAUGAUUACCUGUGGCUAUUCUAUUCAUGAUCGGACCUUAGUAAGGUGAUCGUGGAAGCAGCUUUGUGAACUGGAAUCGUCAAGAGAGACAUGCUGACUGCAGUUCGAGCACUUCAGCAAUGAUGACCGAGAACAGGGGCGAACAGAGCUUCGGACAGCGACGGCCGGUGUGUGCCCACGGUGUCCGGAGGGCGAUAGUGAGGGAAAGUCGAUAAGGAAGCCACUGGAGAUACAGAAAAGGGCCGAGAAUAGAUGCUGUUGCUUGAAUUGAAAAAUGAAAUCCAGAGAAUGAGAGAGAACUUAUCUUCAAUAUUGUAGCAGUAACCGAAUGAUGAAGAGCUCGAAGUGAAGAAUCCGAGUUCUAUCUGUCACGACUAUUCUCCUCCGUCGGAGAACGAAAGUGAUAGAAACCGAAGGUGGAGGCAGUGACAAAAACGAACGAUAAUGAAAUCGUCAAGGGAGGCAUUUUUUUUUUGUCAUCUUGGUGCUAGAUGCAAAUUUCUUGCUUCAAUUAGUAACCAACUCCAAAAUUAUUCAGUCACAAAAAUAAAAUAUAAAAUAUGUAUUGAAAAAGAAAGUAAAAGCCCCAGAUUUUUCUUUAAUUCCCUGGCUUUCGCUAAUCGCCAUCAUUAUCAAUCAACACAAUUUGAAUCAUGCUGUCAUUUGUAUCGGAGACUCUUCAACAAGAAGAACAACCUAUGGCACGAGAUGAACAUAAGAAAAUUUAAAAAAUCCGAAAAGGAACAAUUAAUUAAAAUUAUCUUUCAUACAUAAUAAAGAGCUAUGAGAGUGAUCAGACAAACAAAAUUAUAUGUAACGGUAAUAGAAAGGGAGGAGAUAUGCCAAAUAGGGUAUGCAUUGGUUGAACCACAAAAUUUCUAGUUACACCAAAGGAGCCCAAAUCAAUAUGGCGUCAAACUUUCGACCCAAAAAAAGAAAAAAAAAAUGGUGUCAAACUAAUCAAUCAAAAGAAAAUCUGUGUAAUAACUAAAAUAAAAAUCAUUUGGGUGGUGAUCCCAACAAUGUAAAUCAAGAAAACACCACUAUAUUGUACCAGCAAAUUAGAGGGACUACUCUUCUUUCCCCCUCAAAUAGUUCAUCUUACAAUCUUGUGCCAAACUUUCUGAGUAUAUCAUAAAAACGAUUGCUAGUUGCUAGUUUCUUGGUUUUGCAUUUUUUGAAAUAUGUGGUGGAUGAAGGACCGCAGCAAAACGACACCGGCACACCUCUUUUCCCGUGUAGAUAUUCCUCCAUACUAUUUUCAUACUCAACUUUUUAAAUUAAAAAGAAUUAUUUUCUUUUUUAUUUGAUUUUCUGAUUGACUAAAGUAAGUUCCUUUGACAAGCUUUUUUUAUCAUACUAAAUAGCGAAAAAUGAAAACAACAUUUUUUUUUUAUUAAAAUGUUUCUCUCAAAACAAACAGAAUACUAGAAGAAGACCAUUUCAAAGAUCGAUCAUAAAAUAAUGCCGGGUGACAUCCCUCCCGAUAUUUGUUAUAUUGCAUAUCAUCAUCUUAUAACCAAAACUUUUUUAAGAAUUCAUUCUCGUUUAUACAAAUUCUAUCAAAAUUACUCAUAACCAAUGUAAAGGAUCCUAAUAAAACACUGAGCCAAAAAUGUCAAGUCUCUAAAAAAGAAGAAUCAAGCUCCAUACACGGAGAAAAGAUUUUCUGUAACAAUUAAGAAAAUCAAGCUCAUACACGGAGAAAUGAUUUUCUGUAACAAUUAAGCCUCUUCAAGAAUCUCUUCAUCUUCAAAUGUCAGAUAUUUUCAGACCUGAAAAUAAUUGUUCGCAUGUUAGAUCUUGUCCAGUAGACCGUGAGUGUCCUAUUCCCGAAAGACAACUAAAAAAUUAAAUGGUGGGCAAAAUUUACCCCUCAAUUCGCAAAUGAAGAAGCGGUUAUGGUUCGCUGCAGAUCCUACUCGGUCAAAGCCACAGACUACCAGGACAACCUCAAUUUUUCCUCCACAAAUGUCAACAUCAACCUCAAUUCGCAGCAGCUCCAGAUCAAAAGUCUCUGCUAAUAGUAGUUCGUGAGACAGUGUCUCAAGCAGGGUCUGACGAUGAAGAAGUAGAAAAACAGUUUCGCUCCUCAACAUGGAAAUGAUUGUCAUGGCAAAAACCUCAUAAUGCAGGCAAUAACUUUGUAAUGUAACAUAAGUGUCCAAUAAUAGAACUCAUGUAACAGUAUUCCUCAAUAUUGUAUAUCAUGGAAGCCUUUUGGAUCAAAUUCCCUUCAUUUGCCUGAAUUCAAGGUAUAUCUUCAACAUGUGAGCUCACAAGAUUGAAACCAUUUGCAACGGUAGUGCGUUUAUCUUGUCACGUCUGAAUGGUUCUGGACCUUCAGCACCUCGAUGGGGGUAAAUCUGGUGGGACUUGCCCACUUCAAGGAGUUAAUCAUGAGUGGUGCUAAGUGACGAUCUUCUUGGAAUCAGAAUAUCUCAUAGCAGAUGUAAGUCCUCAAAGAAACAUCCAGAGGGUAGCCAUGGCUAUCGAUCCUCCCUCCCAUUCCCCGUCCUGCAUAGGAAAUAUAAUAUGUAGGACCGCUAAAAAUGUUGCAAAGAGAUGGGAGUGGAGUGGGUAUUUGAAUAAAAGAAAAAUGAAAUUUAGUCUUGACCAGGCAACCAGUUUACUAACAUGUUUUGACCUGCAGGGCUCAUUCAGCAUUUAGCUGUCACAUUCGCUUGCUCAAACCUCUGAUUUCAGUUCUGUUUGUCCAUCUGCACCGUAGCAGUUGGGAGAAAGAAAGCUUCUUAUUUUCAAUGAUGAUCUGAACAUGGUAAAAGGAUAUUAUCUAACAAAUCCAGAUAUUUAUAUGGAAUUUCAUUAUGGUAUUUUUUUUACUACGCAAGGCCUACAUUAUAAUUAGUCAACGCAAUUCUGUACUUAGAGUUGAAUAUAAAGUUUUGUUGACCGUGAUAAUAUUUUCAUAAUUAAUUCUCCUGAAUAGUGCAAAGAAUGAAAAUAGGAAAAAUAUAUUCAUACAAAAAUAGAUUGUCUUGCAAAAUAAUUUACCAUGCUAAAAAGAUUCUUUUGCAAAUGAUUAAAUCAUUUUACUAUGUAUGGGAAAGCUGACUUCCACGGCGACAGAGUGUCAAACUUCUAGGGGCACAACAAAUGAACCUAUUGCUAGAACAAAAUGUGCAAGAAAGCAUAAAUUAUACCAGGAAUACAGUCCCAACCGAGUUCUUAAGCUAUUGCGAAUGAUACUGCACACUUAAUGUCAAAACUUCAAUUCAUCCUUCCACGAGUCCUUAUCAAGUAUGUAUGACAAACGCGGGCCAGGGUAAUAGUGAGUCUAUCCUAUACAUUAGCAGCAAUCCUCUCUUCAUCUUUUUUGGCUUUCUCUAUGUAGCUAAGCCUCAUUUUCAGUUUUGUAAGGUAAUGGGAACCCAAUGAACCACUCUCAGUUGAUGCUAAUAACUAGAUUCACUUGAUAUAACAAAAACUGGAGUACCUUCCUAUUGUCCUGAAAAUUCCCAUGGAUAGGUGCCACCUUGCCUUGUGGAAUCACCCAGACCUCAUCUGACCUUCCAGCCAUUAGAUGCUUAUCGUGACUAAGCUACUCAAGGUGAAAGGAGGGCUAUUAGCUGUGAAAAUGAUCCAUGGUUGGUCAAAUUGAAGUAUUUUGACAACAAAAUCAAUCUCACCAUCUCAAUUGCUCCUUAGAACAAGACCAGACCUUGAAUGAGCACCUCAGCCACAUCCAAAUCCUCCAGUUGUGGAUAGGCAAAACAACAGAGUUGCACUCACUCAUCCUUGGACAACAAACUAACAAUUUACAAAGAUAAUUCUUUAGUAGUCACUACUCAUUAAAGCAGAGUUUAAAGACCACAUUUAUAAACAGAGCCCAAUACAAACUACAGGCACAGAUAUCAGAACUCUUUGGUAUUACAGAUUAGUCCAAUACGAAAAAACUGAUCAGGCUAACUAUUCAAUUCCAAAUAUUUUCCAAGUUGAAAUGAUUAGAUUGGUUUCUGUUCCAUUAUAAGUUAGAUAUAUGAUGACAGAGAGGCUCUCUAUAGUUGUUAUCAUUAAUUGAUUCUCUUGUAUUUUCAAUGUAACAUUAGAUUCCGAUAAGUUCAAAUUAGUACAAGAACAACAAUAGGCUAACUGAAAAGUAUUUGAAGUCAUAAAGUGGACAAAAAGAGCAGACUUACCAGAUGAUUGGAUGGCUCAUCAAGCAAAACUAUGUGAGGCUUUUUCAAAGUUAUCUUGGCAAAUGCAACUCUGCCUUUCUGAGCACCUAUUUAUAUGGUCAAAGCACCAUGUUACAUGUGCAAUAACAUCCAAAAAGCCUCAGAGUAGUACAUAGUGAACUACACUUGAGAUUGCAAAUUGACUAACCUCUAUUAGGGCUUCACAAUGUCAUAAAACAAUUGCUUCAAAAAUAAUUUACAUAUGCAACGGUAGCGGAGAGGGAGGCAAUGUAUCAUAAAGGUAUACAUUGGUUGAAGUGCAAGAUGUCCAAUUACACCAAAGGAACACAAGUGAGCUCGAAGCUUUUCGAUCGAAAAUCCCUGCAAGAAGAAUGCUACAUAAGAAGGCAUUUGCAGAUAAAACGACAUGAUGUAUAACAAAAUCAUAUUCCGCGAUGGAGUAAAUGCAAACAACCAAUACUUUAAAGACCUGAAUAGAUUUGCCCCAGAGGUCACUGCUAAUAAUGCAAACACAAAGGCAGGCAACAUAUCGUUACAAUCUCAACCAAAUAAGCACGAGUAUAUAGGCUAAAAAUUUCUAGCAAGCUGUAAACACAAACAGAAUGGUGAUCUAUGGAAUAUCAAUGCUAUCAUGAUGGAGUUGUAUUAAAAGCUCGGAGCAAUAAGCUACCCCAGAAAUGUGUCCCAAAUAGAUUGCUUAAUACUACAAAGGAUCAUCAUAAAUAAAAAUAAAAAAAUAAAAAAGGGUUCUCGAUUCUAAAGAAAACCAUUGAAAAAAAAAACAAUGAAUGAGCUAGGACACAAGAAAAAGAUGGUGGGAAGAGAACAUACAAGAAACGCUGAAAAUGCAAAGACAUAUGAUUGUGGAAUGCUAUAAUUCUUCGUGAUAGUGCAUCUUUCUUCACAGUUUGUUUAAGCAUCAAGUAGAGUUGAAGGUAUGCCAUCAAUAUAGCAAGAGGCAGCACUGAGUGAAUUUCGACCUAAAGUUUAUUGUCCAACGAAACAGAGCUGAUCCAACCCAACAAGAAAUCCCGCUCAAAUGUCAGUCUUUGACUUUCAGUGGUAGAGCUUGCCUACAUCCUAAGAAUGGGUUUUGUCGGCCAUGAUAAUAUUUUCAUAAUUAAUUCUCCAAAAUAGUGCCAAAUAGUGAAAAUGGGGAAAAUAUAUUGAUAUAGCUUUCUCACAAAAUAGAUUUGUCUUACAAAAUAAUUUACUGUGCUAAAAUAUUCUUUUGCAAAUGAUUAAAUCUUUUUAGUGUGCAUGAGAAAACUGACUUCGGUGGCAAUAGAGUGUCAAACUUCCAGGGGCACAGCAAAUGAACCUAUUGCUAUAACAAAAUGUGCAAAGAAUCAUAAAUUAUACCAAGAUUACAAUCACAACUCAGUUCUUAAGCUAUUGCAAAUGAUACUGUAUGCUGUCAAAAACUUAGACUCAUCGUUCCACAAGCCCUUGUCAAGUAUAAAUGACAAAUGAGGGCUGGUGUAAUUGUGAGUCCGUCCUGUAUAUCAGCAGCAAUCCUCUCUUCAUCCUUUUUUGCUUUCUCUAUGUAGCUAAGCCUCAUUUUUUGUUUUGUGAGGUAAUGUGAACCCACUGAACCACUCUUAGUCGAUGGCAAUAACUAGAUUCACCUGAUUCAAUAAAAAUAGGAGUACAUUCCUAUAGUCCUAGAAAUUCCCAUGGAGAGGUGCCACCUUGCCUUGUGAAACCACCCAGACCUCAUCCAAGCUUCUAGCUAUUAGAUGCUCAUCAUGACCAACCUGAAAAUCAAGGUGAAAAGAGGGCUAUUAGCUGUGAAAUGAUCCAUCAUUGGUCAAAUUGAGGUAUUUUGACAAGGAAAUCAAUCUCACCAUCAGAAUUAAUCCUUGGAACAAGACCAGACCUUGAAUGAGCGCCUCAGCCACAUCCAAAUCCUACAGGUGUGGAUAGGGAAAAAAAAAACAAAAACACUAAUCAUUAGACAAGAAACUAACAAUUUACAAAGAUAAUUCUUUAGUCACUGGUCAUUAAAGCAAAACUUAAAGACCAGAUUUACAAACAAAAAGGGGUCCACAUAUUUGUAUGUAAAGCCCAAUACUGCCUAUAGGCAUAAAGAUCAGUACCAUUUGGUAUUGUAGAUUGCUCUCUUCUGAAUAUUUUCCACAUUGGAACAAUUAGAUUGGUGUCUGUUCCAUUAUUUGCUAGAUGUAUGAUGACGAGGGUUACCAGCAGCUAUGACCACCAUUUGGUUCUACUAUAUUUUUAAUGUAAAAACCAUAUUCCGACAAGUUCAAUUAGUGCAAGAACAAUAACAAGCUAACUGAAAAAGUAAUCAAAGUCAUAAAAUGGAGAAAUAUGAGUAGAACUUACCAAAUGAUAGGAUGGGUCGUCAAGCAAAACUAUGUGAGGUUGCUUGAAAGUUAUCUUGGCAAAUGCAACUUUGCUUUUCUAACCACCUAUUUAUGUGGUCAAAGCACCAUGUUAUAUGUGCAAUAACAUCCAAAAAGCCUUGGAGAAAGUACACGGUGAACCACAAUUCAGAUUACAAAUUAUCUAACUUUUAACAGAGCUUCACAAUGUCAUAAGAACAUUGCUUCAACAAAAAAUUUAUACAUGCAAUACUAGCACAGAGAGAGGAGAUAUACCAGGCAAGAUACAAAUUGGUUGAAUCACAAGAUUUCCAGUUACUCCAAAGGAACCCAUGUCAGCUCGAACAUUUUGUUAUGGAACUCCUUUUGGGAAGAAUGCCACAUGGUCACCGCUGAUGAUGGAAACCCGAAGGUAGGCAGCCUAUCAUAACAAUCUCAACCCAACAAGCAUAAGUAUAUUUGCUAAAAAUUUCUAGCAAGCUGUGAGCAAUAGUUCCUAAACCACCAGAAUUCGAGACCCAACCAGAAAGCGAUUUAUGGAAUAUCAAUGCUGUCACGUGAAAGCUUGGAGCCAUGAGCUGCCUCGGAAUUUUAUCCCAGAUUGACUAUUUAAUACUACAAAGAAUCAUCAUAAAAAAGGAAGAAGAAGGUUCCUAUUCUUAAGAAAUCCAUAAAAUGAAAAAACCGCAUCCAUUUUCUUCACAAUCACAUCAUAGCUUCCACAAAAUUAAUCAUCCUUUUAGAUUUUGAAAAAGAUUUGUUCUUAUUUAGAUCAUAUUCACCAGAAGGAAAAUUCAGAACAUAGCAGUGCAAUAAAUAUAUUUAAUUGCUUCUUCCUUUAUUGAUAAAUUGCAAAAGAAAAAAAAAUGAAGCAAGACAAUGACACCAACAGCAUUAGCCCUACCUUAGCAGCGUUCGCACGUGAUCAUUCCAAGAGAUUCUGCCAAUGCAAGAUCAAAAUGGUAUCUGCAAAACAACCAGAGUGAAUGAGCUUAAGGGCCCAAGAAAAAAUAUGUUGGGAAGAGAACAGACAAUAGACGCUGAAAAUGCAGAGGACUAUGAUUGUGGAAUGCUACGAUUCUUCGUGACGGUGCGAUUUCAUUCACAAAUGGUUUGGGCAUCGAGCAGAAAUGAGGAUAUGUCGUCAACAUAGCAAGAGGCAGCACUGCGAGCGUUUCAUCCUACAGUUCAUCGUCCAACGAAACAGAGCCAAUCCAACCCAACGCAAUCCCCCACCCAAACAUCAAUUCGUAUUGAGCAUCGAAUUGAGAAAGUAGAAUGGAAAAGGAUGCCUUCAAAACCAAAAAUAACUUACUCGAACCCUAAGAAAACUCACUGUAGUGUAGAUGCACGAAUCAAUUCAUUGGAUCCGUUUUUUAUCAAUGCUGAUGUAAGGGAUCUCUUCGAUGAGGGGCCAAUAGUCGCCAGUGAGUUUUGCGCAUCGAUCUUUCAGAAUCUCGCAUCCAAAUAUCCACAAUUGUUGGAGAGAGGGAGGGAAGCCAUCCUCUGGCAAGUACCUCAACUUGGGGCACUCUCUAAUAAAAAACCAUUGAAGAGAGGAGAGAUGGUUGCGGAGACCGCUCGAUAGUCUUUCUGUGUUUCUCAAAUGAUUUAUUGAAAGAGAGGUUAGAGAGGAAGGAAAGAGACUCCAAGCAUCCUUAUCCUCCGAAGGAAACCACUCCUUCUCUCUCUCCCCUCCCAUGUUAAAAUCAAUGGUCAGACUCUCGAGAGAUGUGAGCAGGUGUAAGCCCCACUCUCUCACUGGCUGCUUCAGAUCCACGAGCCCCAUAAUUCCAAGGACUCGCAAUUUGGGAGGCAGACCUCCU